RNAcentral lists this long non-coding RNA (86496 nucleotides) under Podarcis lilfordi (Lilford's wall lizard). Lineage: Eukaryota; Metazoa; Chordata; Lepidosauria; Squamata; Lacertidae. The record is from RNAcentral.
CUUGCUGCUGCUGUCGCAUACAUGAAAAAAGUUCUAUAUUCACUUCGCACCAAUUGGCCGACCAUGCCCAAGAGGAAGGCCUCAGGUUUCUUUAGAAAAGUAUAUUUCAAAACCUUUUUAAAUCAUUAUAUAUCAUUUCCCAGAAGGCCUUGAUCUUUGGGCACGUCCACCAAAGGUGAAAGAAAGUACCUUCAUUUUCUUUACAUUUCCAACAUUUAUUAUCGGGCGAAUGAUAGAUUUUUGCUAGCUUGACUGGGGUUAAGUACCACCUAUAAAUCAUUUUCAUUAUAUUUUCUCUUAAGGCAUUACAAGCCAUAAAUUUCAUACCUGUGGUCCAUAACCGUUCCCAGUCAGCAAACAUAAUAUUAUGUCCAACAGCUUGUGCCCAUUUAAUCAUAGCAGAUUUAACCGUUUCAUCCUGUGUAUUCCAUUUCAGCAACAAGUUAUGCAUUCUUGACAAGUUCUUAAUUUUAGGCUCUAACAAUUCCGUUUCCAGUUUGGAUUUUUCCUCCUGGAAACCAAUCUUUUUAUCUAGGUUAAAAGCCUCCCUUAUUUGAUAAUAAUGAAGCCAGUCUCAAACUUUAGUUUUCAGUUUGUCAAAGCUCUGCACCUUUAGUUUAUCUCCAACCUGUUCUAGAAUUUCACAGUAUUUUGGCCAAUUUGUCUCCAUAUUAGUUUUUUUCAAUGCCUUAGCCUCCAUUGGUGACAGCCACCUUGGUGUUUUACUUUCCAACAAAUCCUUAUAUCUCACCCAAACAUUAAACAAUGCUUUCCUGACAAUAUGGUUCUUAAAGGCCUUAUGCGCUUUAACCUUGUCAUACCAUAAAUAUGCAUGCCAUCCAAACACAUUAUCAAAACCUUCUAGGUCCAAAAUGUCCGUAUUUUCAAGAAGUAGCCAAUCUUUCAGCCAGCAAAAUGCGGCUGAUUCAUAAUAAAGUUUAAGAUCUGGCAGGGAAAAUCCACCUCUUUCCUUUACAUCUGUUAAAAUUUUAAAUUUUAUUCUAGGCUUUUUGCCCUGCCAGAUAAAUUUAGAAAUAUCUCUUUGCCACCUCUUGAAGCAGUCCAUUUUAUCAACAAUUUGCAGUGUUUGAAACAAAAACAGCAUUCUAGGCAAUACAUUCAUCUUUAUCGCAGCAAUUCGGCCCAACAAUGAUAACUUCAAUUUUGACCAUAUUUCCAAAUCCUUCUUUACUUCUAACCAACAUUUUUCAUAGUUAUCUUUAAACAAAUUCACAUUUUUAGCAGUCAUAUGCACCCCUAAAUAUUUCACUUUAUUAACUAAUGUUAAUCCUGUCUCCUUCUGAAACCUCUCUUUCUCAAUCUCUGUAAGAUUUUCUCUAAUACCUUAGUUUUCAUCUUAUUCAAUUUAAAACCUGCUACUUGACCAAAUUCUUGAAUUAAUUGCAAUACUCUUUUUGUACUGGAUUCUGGCUCCUGUAGUGUCAAAACUAAGUCAUCAGCAAAAGCUUUCAAUUUGUACUGUUUAGCUCCGAGUUGUAUACCUUUAACCAAUUGGUCUUUCCUAAUCAUAUUGAGCAAAACCUCCAGGACCGAUAUAAAAAGCAGUGGGGAGAUUGGGCAACCCUGUCUUGUUCCUUUCUCUAUCUUAAAUUCUUCUGUAACUACGUUAUUUACGAUCAACUUAGCUUUUUGUUCUGAAUAAAUUGCACCUAUACCAUUUUCAAAACUUUGGCCUACCCCCAUCCCCUGCAAAUUUUUCUUCAUAAAAUUCCAAGAAAUAUUGUCAAAGGCUUUCUCCGCAUCCACAAAUAUUAAAACCGCUUUAGCAUUGAUAUUAACUUGCAAUUUUUCUAGAAUAUUAAUAAUAUUCCUCGUAUUAUCUGACAGAUGUCUCCCCGGGAGAAAGCCCGCUUGAUCUUUAUGAAUUUCUUUCACCAAUACAUUUUUUAAUCUUUUAGCCAUAAUUUCCGCAAAAAUUUUGUAAUCCACAUUAAGUAGGGAUAUGGGACGGUAGUUCUUCAACUGUGUCUUUUCCACUUCUGUUUUUGGUAUAAGUGUAAUGUAUGCUUCUUUCCACGACUCGGGUGCUUUUCCUCCCUGUAGUAUUUCAUUGCAAACUUCUUUCAAAGGUUGCAUUAACCAUUCUUUCAAAGAUUUGUAGUACUUUGCAGUUAAACCAUCUGGUCCUGGAGAUUUGCCCAAUUUCAUAUUCUGAAUGGCUCCUUCCACCUCUUGAUCAGAUAUUAUAGAGUUUAAUAUUGAUUUGCUCUCUUGAGAUACUUUUUGUAAUCCAUUAAUUUUCAAAAACCGAUCAAUGUCUAAUUCUUUCUGGGUCUCCUGGGUGUAUAACUGUUUAAAAUAGUUCUGAAAGCACUUCCGAAUCUCUCCAGGAUUCUGUAUAUUCUUCCCUUCUACUACCAAAUUCGUGAUCGUAUUCAGCUUUUGUCUUUUUUUCAUUUGCCAAGCCAAAAAUUUCCCACACUUAUUUGCCGAUUCAAAUGUCUUUUGUUUCAUCUGUUUGAUCUUCCAUUCUAUUUCCUGAUUCAUCAAUUUCAUGUAUUGUACUUGGUAUAACUUUAUCUCUCUUAAAAUCUCCUGUGAGUUCGGUUUCGCCCUCAGUCUUUUUUCUCCAUCCUUAAUUUUCUCCAAAAUUUUUUCUCUCUUCUCAUUUUGAUGUCUUUUCCUAAUUGCAUUUUGUUGUAUCAAAAAUCCUCUCAUCACCGCUUUACUGGCAUCCCAAAUCACUCUUUUCUCAGUCGUAGUGUUCAUAUUUAUCUCAAAGUAGUCUCUCAAAUUUUUCUGGGCCUUUUUGAUAAUUUCCUCAUUCCUAAGCAAGGCGUCAUUCAUCCUCCAUCUGAAAGCUCCAAUUGGCGUUAGUAUCAUUUCAAUCUUUACUGGAUUAUGAUCAGAGCAAAUUUUCGGGCAAAUCACCGCUUUUUUAUCUUAGGGGCCAGUCCCCUGGUUAUCCAGAUUUGGUCUAUUCUUGUCCAUGUCAUUUUUGCUUCAGAGAAGAAGGUUCCUUCUCUUUCCAAGGGGUUCUUUAUUCUCCAAAUGUCCACAAGAUCCAUAUUGUCAGUCAUUUCAAAAAAUGUCUUUGGUAAUCUUCCAUCUUUCGUCACCGUUUGUCUUUGGGCUUUAUCCAUAUUUGUAGACACUACUCCAUUCAUGUCUCCCAUCAAAAUAAUGUUGUAAUCCAAAUAAUCCAGUAGGGUUUCAUGCAAUUUUUUAAAGAAUUCUGAUUUUCCUUCAUUUGGUGCAUAAACACCUAAUAUCAAAAACUUCUGGCCGUGAAACUGAAUUUCAAUUGCUAUAUAUCUUCCUUGAUCAUCUUUAAACAUAAAUUUUGGUGACAGGCAUUCCUUUGCAUAGAGUACUACUCCUCUUUUUUUCACAUUAUCCGAUGAGAUAAAUUCUUCUCCCAAUCUUUUGUUUAUCAAAAUUUUCCGAUGUAGCCUUGUCACAUGCGUCUCUUGUAGACAAAUCAAGUCCAAAUGUUCUUUUUUUAAUGUAUGAAAUACUCUCCCCCUUUUUGCCGACGAAUUUAAGCCAUUAAUGUUCCAACUUAAAACUUGCAGUGUCAUUUUGUACUUGCUCUCCUUCUCCUCCAACAGCCCCAAGAAGUUUGUCUAUAUCUGUCGGUGGCGUUGGUUUCGCUUUUUUUUGCAAACUCUUAUCCAGUACAGCAGGGUCUUUUCCGAGUCCUUUCUGUAGAUCUUCUUCAUAUGCGCUCAAAAACUUGUUCUUUUCCUCCACUGAUCUUAUCUUAGUCUUUCUUCCUUUAAAACUAAAGGAUAGACCUUGAGGGAAUUCCCACCUAAAAAGAAUCUUGUUUUUUCUCAGCAAGGCCACCAAGUCUCCAAAGUCUUGUCUUAGAUCCAAAAGAUGUUUUGGUAUGUCUUUAAAAAUUUCCACUUUUGAUUGUAGAAUUGUCAAGGGUUUCUCAUAGUGCAGGCCCAAAAUUUUGUCCCUCUCUUCUUUAGAUCGGAGGGUAAUCAAACAAUCCCUUAUUUUAAUCUUUCUUCCUCCUUUCCCCAAUCUGAAGGCCCUCACAAUCUUAAAAUCCUCUUGUUUCAAAUCCGAUUUCCAGAAUUCCGCAAAUUCUUGUGUCAGAAAGUCUAUCAAGGUGCCUUUCUCCAACUCAGGAACAGCCCUGAUUCUUAGGUUGGAUUGUUUAUCUCUAAGGUCAAUCAUAGACAGCGUCAGCUUAUGUUCUGCAAUCUCUUUCUGUAGGUCUGGUACCUUCUCAGUUUCCAAUUGCCCCAAUUUGAAUUCCACCGCAGCAGUUUUUUCCUUUUCUUUUAAAAAGCCAUUCAAGCCAUUCUUAAUUUUGUACCUGGUAUCUUAUCUAGUUUGGUCCUCAGCAAAGAGAGUUUACACAUUCACUGCAAGUGUCGAUUGUCAAGUGAUGCGACUUCACUUUCAAAGUGUGCAACUUCAGUGUGUUUGGGAAGUGCUGAAAGAAAUUAGUGUAGAAGUGGCAUAAACCUUCCUGCUUCGCUACUCAGAUCAUGCCACCCCGAACACUGUCUUCCCCUUCCUCACCCAAAACACUGGUUUGCCACAUCUCAAGAGUGGUGCUUUAAUCUAAUAGCAUCUAGGUUCAGAGCUGGGGAAGAGAUGCUUAGAGGUUCUUUCCAAGCCAGUUCUUCCAGGACUGAUGUUGUGCUGGAUCUCUCUUUGUAGAAAGAGCAAACAUCUCAGAUGGAGAGGAUAAACAGAAACGAUGAGCACUGUUUUUGUGACUGACCUCAAGAGUUGUUUGAUGCCAACAUUUCCUUCCUUCUUCUCUGCUCCAUAUACAGAUGACACAGUAUGCAAUAAUGUCAGAAGGAAUUUGGAAGACUCAAAGGCUGCAAACCUCACAGAUUUAUUUUAUUUUUUAUUCCUUGUAGUGCUUGCAUGCCUUUAAUAAAAAAGAAAAGCAGAAAAAAAUCAAUUACAAGCAGAAUAGAUUUCUCCUUUUAAAAACUCACAUCAACCUUGAAUUCUCUUCGCUCUGAGAAUAUCUGACCAUGAGAUCUCACUCAGUAGCUCCUUAAGCUUUUUGAGACUGGCCUUCUUCAGGUCCAGAGUGCAUUUCUGACUACACUCAGCUUUCCCUUGCCUCUAUCAUGAAACCCAGGAGAACAGGAUCACUUUCUCCCAAGGAAUGUUGUGUGUUAUACAGUGGUACCUUGGUUUUCAAACAGCUUAGUUCCCAAACAAUUCGGAACCCGAAUGCUACAAACCCAGAAAUAGGUGUUCUGGUUUUCGAACUUUGCCUCAGAAGCCGAACAUGCUCCUGAGUUUCCAUUUUCACUGUUGCACAGCUCAUUUGAGUCCCCCGCAUAGUAAUGAAGGUUUUUUCAUCCCAUGUUACCCUUGCACAACUAAUUUAAGUCCCCUCCCCAUCGUAAUUAAAGCUUUCCAUUUCUGAUUGGAGUAUUCUGAAGUGAUAUUUGGUGCUUUUGUUUUUGCUACUUUUUGCAUUUUUGUUUGUGUGGCUUUUUCAUUUUUGUGACUGUGGCUACAUCAAAGGAAUGUUUUUUGUUUUAUGAUUGAUUGAUUGAUUGAUUGAUUGAUUGUGUGACUGUGGAAAUGCAUAAAAGCCCCCCCCAUCCAAACAAUGGCUAUCAUCACUGCAGGUAAGAAAAUAAAAUAAUUUUAAUUUUUAUCAUUUACAAUACUGUUUGUUUGUUUGUUUGUUUGUUUGUUUUAUAGUACAGUGGUACCUCGGGUUAAGUACUUAAUUUGUUCCAGAGGUCCAUUCUUAACCUGAAGUACCACUUUAGCUAAUAGGGCCUCCCGCUGCUGCCACGCUGCCGGAGCACAAUUUCUGUUCCCAUCCUGAAGCAAAGUUCUUAACCUGAUGUAUUAUUUCAGGGUUAGCGGAGUCUGUAACCUGAAGCGUCUGUAGCCUGAAGCGUAUGUAACCCGAGGUACCACUGUACAGAAGAUUGAGUAUUGCUUUCAUUUUAUGGAUCAAUGGUCUUGUUAGAUAGUUUAAUCAAUGUUAAAUUUUUGUUUUAGGGGUUGUUUUUAAAAGUCUGGAACAGAUUAAUCCGUUUUGCAUUACUUUGUAUGGGAAAGUGCGCCUUGGUUUUGGAACGUUUUGGUUUUGGAACACACUUCUGGAACCGAUUAAGUUUGAGAACCAAGGUACCACUGUAUACAGAAACUGUCAACAAAACACCUGUGAGCAGCUAUACCAAUGAGAGGAACAGCAUCAUUUAGACCGACUUUUUAAAGAAUGAGGACAACGUGAACCAUUUCCUGGUUUCCUACUAUGAUUCAUUGGGCUGGAUUCUUUUGCCUUGCUUUCUGGGCAGCUGCUUACUCUGCACACACACCCAUUUAAAUAUACAUUGGCAUGACAUUCCCAGGACGGAGUGCUGUGGCCCAUCAGCAAACCUGGAUAAAAAAAGACAUUUACACCCUGUGUUAUACCCUCUAAUCCAAACACAGUCCAGAGUAUCAGAAGAGAGUGAACACAUUGCUGGGGAAGAAACAGCCUCCAUGUCUCUCUUCUGGAAGCAUCUGACUGGCUGUGUUUGGAAACAGGAUACUGAAUGUUUAGAGAAUCUAGAGAAUUUAGGGGGUGGGAUCCACCACCAAUCAUUGCUGCUACCCUGAUUUUCCGUUAGACAAAAUUUGGUGCAAUCCCUCAAACCCACAUGCUGUUUCACCUUUUGGGACUUUUUGCAAAUAUAUAUGUAUUCUACAUUCAUACCUAGUCUCAGUAAAUUAUUGCUGGAGGCUGUUCACAGUUUUUGUGCUAAACUGUGCUAAAUUAGCUUGGAGAGAGCACUAAAUGAAGCUUUAUGAUUUUACAUAUUUGAUGCUGUGCAGUUUAUAUAUUAUUCAGAUUUCUUUUGCCAUGAACUUACUUUUGAAAGAGACAUUAGGGGAUGAUUUCGUGGUUUGGAAUUUCUUAUUUCUGUAGCCCCCAUGGAGACACAGGACUAAACUAAGAUUUUUAUCUUCCUGGAAAUAAGGCUCAUGACUUUAAAUAAAACACUUUUUUUAACUCUUAUGUGCUACUUGCACUCAUGAAAAUAGUGUUCAGCAGCAUAUGGACAGGAAUGCCCAUGCAUGCUUUUUAUGUUAAGCCACUAGAAUGUUCCAUAUUGCUUCAGCCAUUUACAAAUUAAACUAAGGCACGGAAGAAUAGAAAUGGGUUGGAAAAGUCACAACACUAUGAAAGAGAUUAUAACUAAUUUACUAGCACAAUAUGUGACGUCCAUUCGAUGUGGCUGACUCAAGGGGUGUGAGUCACAUCUGAUUUCUCUCAUUGUGUCUCCUAGUUGGAUGUCCCCUGGCACUAGCCUCUUCCUGUGUUCUGUGUUUUAGGAGCCCCAUGAGAGUAGGUAAGGGGAGAUGCGGAACUGGUGGAGGCAGGGAGAUGGUUAUAUCAAAGUUCUUGCUCCCUCUCCUUCACCCAGUGUAUUUCAGAAUCUGGAAGUGCUGGUCAGCUGCCCCCCUGCUCUGGUGUUGUUAAAUGCCACAUCUGUUAUUAACGGGACCGACUUGGCAUUUACAGUGGUACCUCGGGUUACAUACGCUUCAGGUUACAGACUCCGCUAACCGAGAAAUAGUACCUCGGGUUAAGAACUUUGUUUCAGGAUGAGGACAUAAAUCGUGCUCCGGCGGCGCGGCAGCAGCAGGAGGCCCCAUUAGCUAAAGUGGUGCUUCAGGUUAAGAACAGUUUCAGGUUAAGAACGGACUUCCGGAACGAAUUAAGUACAUAACCAGAGGUACCACUGUAUAACUUGGACCUUGGCGGAUGAACUUAAGGGUCUUAUGCUGACCCAUUUGUGUCCACCUGUGCACUCAGAGUAGUGCCAUUCUAGGUCAAAUGCAAAAGGUGGAAACUUUGCAAAUAGGCUGAGGCGGGAAAAUCUGUUCACCUCACGUAUUUUAUAAUGUGUGUCGCCACUGAUUUCUUUUGAAGGGUUCCCAUUCCUCCACCACCAAAAAAGGGAAUGCAAUCUGUGUCUUCUUUUGCAGGUGGGUUGGGGUGUGCAGGGUCCGGAAAAUCCUGUUGGCAGCCCUGGCCAGGCUACCCUCAACCUGGUUUCUAUCCCAGAGUGAAGGGGUAAUACUCAGUUUCUUGGGGGUCUCAUUGUCAGUCCAUUAUGGUGAACAAAUCACUUCAUGGUGUGGUUUAGGCAGAACAUAGAUACUCUACCCUUUAGGGUAGGAGACCCAUUCAGAUGGUCCUCCCAUAGAGACUAGUGGAAUCUAAUGGAUCUAAGAAGACUCUGAGGGAUUUUUUACUUGAGAAGGCGGGUGACCAUGUCAAGGCUCUUGUCACACUGUGCAAUGGUGAGCUGCAUAGGGCCCCAACACACUUUCUCCUGAGUCCCUGUGGAGCAUGUACCUUGGUACCCUGGUGACCUGAUCGUGAUGAAACAGGAGGGUCAGUGACCAGAGCACAGGUGCCAUAAAUCUCAGUCCGAACCAGGCUGAACAUGGGUGAGGCUGCAUCACUGAAACUCUACCAGGUCCUUGUGGUCCCAGUGAAGAAAGGUGUCGCCUUUGUCACCAUUGUGUUCUCGUGUAGCCACCUGACAGAGCUUUUCUGAGUGGUGAGUGGACUUUGUCAUCUGGCCUGGUCUAGCAAUUUUGUGAGGCACUUGAGGGACAAGAUCACUCCUAUUUGCACAGAAUUAGAUGCCACGGGGCAAUGGAGGCAUCCAGAGCACUGUCUCUUCAAUAUAUUGUGCCCUGAAGGCAUGGACAAGCUGCCUGAAGUGUGGUUGACCAUCUGCCCCCUUGACCCUUGCAUAUCCUGGCUUUCUAGAGCAAGCCAAAGAAGAGUCAACAGAUGAGCCUAGGGAGUAAUUAACACUUCUUGGGAGGAGCAGGGAGUAGAAAGUAGAUGAUGGCACAUCUUCUCCUUAAGAGGAUCUUCCCAGAUCCAAAACAACUAUCACCCAGCGGCAUAUAUUCCCUUCCUAGGCAAUGUGCUUGAGAGGGUGGCGGCAGUCCAGCUUCAGGUGUGCUAGGAGGAAACUGAUUGUUUUGAUCCUUUCGAGUCUAGUUUCAUCCUGCUGAUUGUGUGUGUGUGUCCCUUGUUCCCCCGAUCUCUCACCUGCUCCCUGGAGUAUACUGGGAAGGUGGGGGUUGGGGGCACCAUACUUUAGUGGUUCUGCUUCUAUCCCCAGAGCCAUUUCUAGAAAGUAGUUCUGGGAGAGUUAGUGUUUGGCAUCAGGAGAGCCGCCCUCCUGCAGAGCUCCGUCUAGUGUCGGUAUGAAACCACUGAGUGCUGCCAUCAGAUGAUUUAGAGUGAGCUAUGCAUGUUCCGUAUGGUGGAAACAAUUAUGCAGAUCUCUUUUCCAGCUGGGGUCAGAAAGACACCCAUCCCUGUUGAACAUCUGAUACAGGUUUUUUAUCAUUGUAACUCACUUUUAGUCUUAUUUUAAUGGGUUCCCUGUACAUGGCUUAGAGAUGACAGUGAUUAAGUAGUAUACAAAUGAAUCAAAUAAAUAAAAUAAAUAAUAUGCAGAGGAUUCCCAGCUCUAUCUCUGUUCUAUGUGAAUUGGGAGAGCUGUUUGACAGGUCCUUGAAGGCCAAAAAUUGAAGAUGAAUCCUGAAAAGACAUUUGUGCUCUGUGUCCCAAGUCCCCAAGUCUGGGAGGUGAAGAGACAUGGUGUCCUGGAUGGGGUUGCAUUGCCCUGGAAGGAGCAGAUUGGUAGCUUAGUGGUGCAAAACCCUCCCUGGAGGCUCAGGUGGCCUCAGAAACUGUUAAAAUCAACUGUAACUAACAAGUGAGAAAAUAAAUGCAAAUUGCAUAUAUCUGUCUUUCCUAAACAAAAACAUUUUAAGCAGGCACUAAAAAAAUAUAUGCAGCAAUGUAAAACUGAAAGAAGGGAACACUGAAAAGAUCAGUUCCCUGGCUAUAAUGGCAGCUGCCUACUUUUCUUGACUCAAAACCAUAAGUUUAAGCCAAAGGGAGAGUCUAACCCUUCAAGGAAUGAGAGCUAACCAAAGAUGACCCUGAACUGUUUUGAAAUCAGAAGUUAAAUUUAAAAUCCAAUGGGAAGGAUAUAUUCUGGUGGUUCCAGUCCUGCAGCAUAUUGAUUUGUCAAAUUCAGCAACAAAACUCAACAAAAGAGGAACACACAUUUGCUGUAAUUUUUUUUUACUGUUCUCAUAACUCAGUGAACCACUAAAAGGAGGCGAAUCAAUGAACUUGAGUGAGCUGAACCUGAAAAACAAUGCAACCAACCAAUCAAUUCAUUUUAUUUUAGUUUCUAAAUGGAUUUUGUGUAUUUUUCUUGUUCUCUUUAUGUUUACUGACAAAUCAUCAUUUUCCAUUCAUGAUGAAUAAUUGCAGUCCCUGAUCCCUACCACAAAUGGGGUUCAGUGGGCUAUCUGCACCUCAGUGUUUUAGCUGCAGAAUCCAUUACAUUUCAAAGGGUGAUCAAGCCCCUGAAAUAGAUGUUUUUGGCCCGUAGACUAUUUGGGGCUGUUGUUGAAACAAGAGAAUACUGGGGUUUUCUUACUUUUAGCAUGUUUCUUCUAUAUAAUAGCAUGCAAAUUUUUACUAAGAAAUACACAUAUGUCAACUUUCUUUUAUAUUCAGUGCUGGUUUAGGAACAGUAUUAUCCAUGUCUUUAAAGUCUCCUUUGCUGUUUGGAUGGGCAGCCUGCGGGUGUUUGAGGGUCUGAUCUGUGCCUUGGAAGUCAUUUAGCUGCCCCAUCCCAACCCCAACUUCAGAAGUAGGGUAAAUACUUAAUGCACAUUGUGCCCAGGACCAACCUGCACAUCCAUGCCUCCAAAGCCCUUCCAACUGGGGUGCAGCUAAUAGCUCAGGAGUUUAAAGGGUAGCUUUGCUGUCAGUCAGAAAUUUCUAUUUAGAGUGAUCAUUUAAACUUUGAAAGCCCUGUCCCAGAGUGGCCUGAUGCUGAGGGAACAGGCCCCAUCCCUAGGGCAGAAUGACAGGCGAGCAUGUGGAGCUGAGCACAAUACAUGCUCAGGAGUCCUAGGAACUCGUGUAAGAUGAAAAAGUAAAGUUUCUGCCUCCCAUAAUUAUGUUUGUUUAUGAACAGCAUUCAGCCAUUUGAGUUCCACCUCUAGUCCCAACAUCCAGGAGCCCCAGCAUGUGUGAUCAGGGGGAAUGAGAAUUUUAUUCCAACAUUACCUCAGGGCACCUCUCCAGCUGCCCCUGUCAACUAUGGCUAGCCCUUUUAGGGUUACCUGAAUAGCGACAAAGGCUUGGAUGAGAGAUCAUGAGGCUGUGCAACCCCAACUGAAUGAAAUACAAAAUAACAAAAUACAGUGGGAGGGAAGGGAAGGGAAGAAAGAAGGGAAGGGAAAGGAAAGGAAAGGAAGGGAAGGGAAGGGAAGGGAAGGGAAGGGAAGGGAAGGGAAGGGAAACCAAGCUGUUUGGGGUUAUUCCAAGACUGAACUAGAUUGGAACCAUCUAGGUGGCAAGAGAGUAGAGGACUGAACCCUUCUGCCAGGGGAGACCUGCUAGACCAGAGCAGCCCAAGCCAUUUUGCUGCCUGAGGCGAAGGGCAAGAUAGUGCAUUCCCCAUUCUGUGCACAAAAUUGGAUUAGACCGGUAGUUGACUCUUACAUCAGCACCAGUGAUGGAACAGAGUCCUCCACUGUACCCUUGGGCUAGAAGCUAGCUUAGGGGCUGCAGGGCAGACCACAAGGCAGACCACAAGGCACACGUUUCCAGUCACUUUCCACCCUUCAGAAUUUGCUGCCUGAGGCAACUGCCUGAUUCUGCCUCAUGGCAGGGUCAGCCCUGCUGCUAGUCGUUAUAAGCUUAACGAGUGCCACUAUUUUUAUUGGGGGUGGCCAUGCCUCAGACAUAGAGCUUCCUUGUUGCUUUUGUUUUUAAAAAGCAAACACACAAAUAAAUUGGGAGCCCUUAAGUGGGGCAAAUCAAGAAGUUCCUGGGAUUGUGUCAGGUGGGAGAGAAAGAGAGAUGUACGCUCUGCAGGUCUCACAUUGGUGUGUAUAUGUAGCUAGUGAGAGUUUCUCACAGAUCCCUUUGAAAUGAGGCAAGCGAAUGCAGAUUUGUCCAGGAAAAUUCGAGCUCUUGCUUGAUGUAGACGUUCAGGCUCCAUGAGGAUUUUAUGGGGUCGGAAGUGCUAGGGUUAUGCAUCCAUCAUAACAUACUUACUCAGUAUGCUCUUUUUCUACAGAAAUAAGCUUUCAAACAAGAGCCCAGUGUUCUAAGGGGUUUUUGUCAACCAUCUCCAGGAGCUUCUGCAUUGCUUUUGUGAUAUAGUUUGUCAAAAUGAAAAAACUGUUACCCAAACAAACCAAAAGAGCAAAUGUAAUUGCUUUCAAAACUGCAAAAAAAUAAUAAUACUUUUUUUUCUUUUUAAAGGGACAGUUUACUUAGCUGUAAAUUGAAUGGAUGGAAUGGAAAAAGUCAACAUUUCUUCAAGAAAUGUUCCUUUUGUGAUCAUGAUAAAUAGAAAAAUCAUAUUCCAUCUACGCUGAAAUCUUUGUUUUCAAGAGGAAGUUGAUGUAGAUCUAAUACUAGUUUGCUACUAUUACAGUUUACAUGUCCUUGACAAUUAUGUGUCGCUAGGCCUCUGUGUAAAGCCAGCAUGAUUUUUUUUGUCUCAAUCACUAGUGCAGAAGGUAUUUGAAAAACAGCUGGAUGAUUUCCAGAUACAAGACACCAUUGAUUUUUCAAAAAUUCCAUAAAUACAACAUGCUGUUUACUGACAAAACCAGUGUACAGCGCUGAAAGAAAUCACAAUAACAAAAUGAAACGCCCUUUUGAAAUCUAAGCUGUCAUAUUCCUCUUUAUAAGCAGUUUAUGAGCACCUUCAGGGCACGAAAAAACCUAUGGUAUACAGUGGUAUCUCGGGUUGCAUACGCUUCAGGUUAAAUACGCUUCAGGUUACAGACUCCGCUAACCCAGAAAUAGUGCUUCAGGUUAAGAACUUUGCUUCAGGAUGAGAACAGAAAUCGUGCUCUGGCAGCGAGAGGCCCCAUUAGCUAAAGUGGUGCUUCAGGUUAAGAACAGUUUCAGAUUAAGUACGGACCUCCGGAACGAAUUAAGUACUUAACCUGUAUUUACAAUUUUAUAUUGACUAAAACCUAGUACUUUGGGGUAGGGUGGGGAGAGAACAAGUACAGUAGUACCUCGGGUUAAGAACUUAAUUCCUUCUGGAGGUCUCUUCUUAACCUGAAACUGUUCUUAACCUUAAGCACCACUUUAGCUAAUGGGGCCUCCUGCUGCUGCCGUGCCGCUGGAGCACGAUUUCUGUUCUCAUCCUGAAGCAAAGUUCUUAACCCGAGGUACUAUUUCUGGGUUAGCAGAGUCUGUAACCUGAAGUGUAUGUAACCUGAAGCGUAUUUAACCCGAGGCACCCCUGUAAUGUGUUUUACCACUCUAAAAAUAAACAUUUCCUAUUCACUGCCCAGCUACAUUUUCUCUAUGUGAUAGCAUUCUCUUUUUGUCAGAUGACAGCAUGACGGUUCCUAAUUAUUUUCACCUCAUUUUUUAAUAUGAAAUUCUAGUAAUCAGGAGCAAAUGUUCUGGAUCCCACUUAGAACCUGAAGGUAUAGAAAGCUUCCCUGGGAAUGUUUUAUGAUAACGGAUACCAUUAGUUUUUACCAAAACCGAUACCAGCUAGGAUAGAGAUUUUAGAAGACUUCAGCUGCUGAAAAGGCAAUGGAGGAAGUGCCUAUUUGGUAUGUGGUAGGAGGCAAUUCAAAGGGCUAUGCACCACCAAACUGAAGGCCCAAUGUUGAAGUUGAGCAGAAAGGAGCUCCCGGUAGGAUGGGAUCUGCAGGAUGCCUUCUCUGGCAGAACGCAGGGAUCACUGGGAUCCAUUGGAGACAAGGCCUCCUUUCAGGCACCCUGCUCUCAAGCUCUGUAGGGCUUUGUAUACCAGUACCAGCCCCUUGAAGUAAAAUGGCAGCCAGUGACAUUCUUUGAGCAGCAGGAUGGCAAGGAGGUUCUGGAUAUAACCGGGUAUACACUGGCUUAACUCCCUCAUCCUUGACUUAACCACAGAUACACUGGCAUAUUUUCCCCUUAUCAAUCCAGUUGUCUGAUCUGAACCCGGCAGGUCUUAAGCUGGCAUAAGCCCAGAAAAGGGGGGGGGAGUGGCACCAGAGAGGGGGGACUUAGGUUAGAUCCUCAUCCCAUCCAAGUUGGGACAUGACUGGUGUCGCUUAAAUUGACAAAAAAGGGUGUGGUAACCCAAACUAUAUUUUAAAGGCUUGUUUUCCUUCUGCCAGUCAUAGGCUGGCUCUGCACCAGUAGCCCUGCUCUGGAUCUGGUGCAACUUCAUGCUGCCUUAAUUUAGACCGGCUUGUUUUGCACCAGCUUCUUGUGUUUGUUCCCUUAAAUAAGCAUCCUAGCAUUUUAAUCAGCCAUGGCUUCCCUCGAAGAAUCCUGGUAACUGUCGUUGGAUGAAGGUGCUGAGAGUUGCUAGGAGACGCCUGUUGCCCUCCAAGCUACCACUCUCAGCACCCUUCAGUUACUGCAGCACUCUUUGGGGAGCCCAUGACAGUUUAAAGUGGCAAGGGACUGCUUCAGAAUUUAAAGUGCAGACAGGACAUGACACACCAAAGGCAUGGAAGCCAGCCAAGGGAAAGCAGAUAUUCCCCAUUUAUCCUCCUCAGUCGUUGCCUCACCAUUUUCUGCAAACCAGUAAAAAAAAGCACAAUUUCUGUAUGUAUGUCUGUAUGGCUGUUGUUCUUUACAAUGCUCAAUUGCUAUGGAAAAACACAGUAUCUUCACAAAUUCAAAACACAUGUUAUUACAUUACAUAUGUGUCAGGGAACUGACAUCGGAGCCAGAGGCGGAGGCUAGGCUCUCAAGCGAUGCUGGAGAAGGGCCCAGCAGGGGGAGAGGCAGCUCACCAGCUGGGGAAGGAAAUCAGCGUAACACGAGAGAUAAAGGGGGGCAGAUGGGGGAAUCAGCGAGGGGGCUUCAGGACUCCUCGCCAGAGACCAGCAAGGUGAGCACGGGUCCUCCGCUACCCACUCUCCGCGCAGGGAGAGUAGGAGGAGACUUGGGGUCAAACAGCUUUUAUGCUGGAAAAGGUUUAAGAAACGCCCACUGAUGGAUUCUGCUAGCGACUGAGCAGCCACGAAGUGAAGGGCUGUCCAGACAGAAAAGGUUUAACAAGGCAACCUAGCCAGGAGUGGCACCAACUUACGCACGAGCAACCCCGACAUUUAUUACAAUAUGAAAGAAAUUGAUAGUGACUAGGAUAUUAUAUCAAUGUGCUGCUGAAACCCAAUGAACAGGUUUCCUAUUUUCGUAUAGUUUGUUUUAUCUUUUAAGGUAGUGCAUUCUAAGUGAUAUAAUUAUUUCCCUCAUUAAGUGGGUUAAGCUGGAGCUGUGAAUGUGACAGAAUUCUAAUGAAUUUUGAUUUUCAGGACAGAGCACAGCAAUUGGACCCUUUUCUCUCUGUGCAUUUUCCGACUUGUUUUCUUUCAAUCCUGAGUUCUUCUCCUUUGUAUACAUGGUAUUGUGUGACAAAAAUUAGCCACCUUUCUACUGAAAGAACAGCAGCAUGAUUUUAAAAAUCUUAACCCUAAUAUUACUGAAAUGAGUAUUAUGCUCUUGUCAUGAUUUCCUCUUGUUGAAUGCCUAAAAUAGAUCCUAUAGGGAGUUCUUUAAACCUUACACAUUUGCGACAAGUAGGGUGGGGAUGCGGGUGGCUCUGUGGUCUAAACCACAGAGCCUAGGGCUUGCCGAUCAGAAGGUCGGCGGUUUGAAUCCCCGCGACGGGGUGAGCUCCCGUUUCUCGGUCCCUGCUCCUGCCAACCUAGCAGAUCAAAAGCACAUCCAAGUGCAAGUAGAUAAGUAGGUACCGCUCCAGUGGGAAAGUAAACGGCAUUUCCAUGCGUUGCUCUGGUUCGCCAGAAGCGGCUUAGUCAUGCUGGCCACAUGACCCGGAAGCUGUACGCCGGCUCCCUCGGCAAAUAAAGCGAGAUAAGCGCCACAACCUCAGAGUCAGCCACGACUGGACCUAAUGGUCAGGGGUCCCUUUACCUUUUACCUUUUUACAAAUAGGGUAGACAACUGCAGAUUAUUAUUUUUAAGUCUGGUAUCUUGGUGUGACCAAGAGCAAAUUUGUCAGUACCAUACAGGGUAGCAGGAGUAACAGCUGGCACAUCUGGCACUCUUAGGCUGCUCUGCCCCUCCAUCACCACACACACGGUUAACUUUCCAAAUGCUAGCAUAGUCUGAGAGUCUUUUUAAGCUUGGGAAUUUUGAACUAAGGUUUUCAGUCUUGACUAGGAUGGCACAAGAGCUGUGGCCGUGUGGAAUGCAUCUAAUAUGCUGAGCCAUCAUGGUGUCAUGGUGCUAGUCUAAACAUCACCUCUAAACUUUUGUUUCCAAAUGCUUUUGCUCUAGAUUUAUUAUGAAAAAUUAAAUUGUCCUUCUACCUGAAAUUAACAUUUUAAAAACAUUUUAAACAUUCUUUUUACCAUGGGGUUUUGGGGUGAGGCAGGAUGAAGUUGUUUCAAAUGGCAUCUAAUUGUGGGGGCAGCCAGCUUCCUCACCACCAGAGGUGCAUAGACAAUUAGAAGUAUGUAUGUCUCAGUCCCAUGAACUUUUUAUAAUGUUAAAACCAAAUCCUUUAAACCACACAGGAAGAGAGGCAGCUGACAUGAACCAGGUUGAAUAUGCUCAUGCUUCCCAAGAUUUGUUGGAAAGAAUGCAGCAGCCUUCUUCAUUAACUGCAACUUCUGCAUAAUCUUCAAGAGCAACCUGAAUCGUAAUAGCAAGGAUGAAUCUGUGUGUUAGGGUGAUGUCUUCAUAAUCUGGUGACAUAGUCCUUUGCUUCCCAGUUACCAGUUUCCCAAAAUGCAGAUUUUGACUGAGCAUUAGUAUGUCUCAGGGUUUUAAAAUAUAUAUUAUUGCAACUCAACUAUAUAUUUUCAUUAUUAACAAUAUAUAUCUACAGGAGCUAAAGAAUUUUAAAAUAAAAUAAAUUAGACCAAAGCUCAUUUCAAAUGUGAGACCAUGGUUGGUGUUCUAUGCAAUGUUCUGUUGUGCGCCAUUUGCCUUCAGUUCUCACAUGUAAUCCUGGCAACCUUUUUCAGAUCUUUUCACAUUCCAGAAUUUGACACCCCAAGUGCAACAGAUUGAGCAACAGUAAAAAUGAUUCUAUCAAGAAGGGAAUUAGUAAAGACCAGAACCUAUUAACCCCCUUCGUGGAUCACUGCCUUGCCGUGGCGAAGGGGCUUGAAGAACUCAGAGAAGCUAUGAACUAUGCCGAGCAGGGCACCCAAGAUGAACAGGUCAUAGUGGAGAGUUUUGACCAAACGUGAUCCACCUGGAGUAGGAACUGGCAAGCCACUCCAGUAUCCCUGCCAAGAAAACUCCAUGGACAAAGACAACAGGCAUAUAAAAGUUAUGACGCUGGAAGAUGAGCCCCUCAGGUCGGAAGGUGUCCAACAUGCUACUGGGGAAGAGCGGAGGACAAGUACAAGUAGAUCCAGAGCUGAUGAAGCGGCUGGGCCAAAGCCGAAAGGACGCUCAGUUGUGGAUAUGCAUGGAAGCGAAAGGAAAGUCCAAUGCUGUAAAGAAAAAUAUUGCAUAGGAACCUGGAAUGUAAGAACCAUGAACCUGGGUAAGUUGGAUGUGGUCAAAAAUGAGAUGGCAAGAAUAAAUAUUGACAUCCUGGGCAUCAGUGAGCUAAAAUGGACGGGAAUGGGCGAAUUCAGUUCGGAUGACUAUCAUAUCUACUACUGUGGGCAAGAAAUCCGUAAAAGAAAUGGAGUGGCCCUCAUAGUCAACAAAAGAGUGGCGAAAGCUGUACUGGGAUGCAGUCUCAAAAAUGAUAGAAUGAUCUCGAUACGAAUCCAAGGCAGACCUUUUAACAUCACAGUAAUCCAAGUUUAUGCACCAACUACUGGUGCUGAAGAAACUGAAAUUGACCAAUUCUAUGAAGACUUACAAGACCUUAUAGAAGUGACACCAAAGAAGGAUGUUCUUCUCAUUAUAGGGGAUUGGAAUGCUAAAGUAGGGAAUCAAGAGAUAAAAGGAACAACUGGCAAGUUUGGCCUUGGAGAUCAAAAUGAAGCAGGGCAAAGGCUAAUAGAGUUCUGUCAAGAGAACAAGCUGGUCAUCACAAACACGCUUUUCCAACAACACAAGAGACGACUCUACACAUGGACAUCACCAGAUGGGCAACAUCGAAAUCAGAUUGAUUAUAUUCUCUGCAGCCAAAGAUGGAGAAGCUCUAUACAGUCAGCAAAAACAAGACCUGGAGCUGACUGUGGCUCAGAUCAUCAGCUUCUUAUAGCAAAAUUCAAGCUUAAACUGAAGAAAGUAGGAAAACCACUGGGCCGGUAAGAUACAAUCUAAAUCAAAUCCCUUAUGAAUACACAGUGGAAGUGAGGAACAGGUUUAAGGAUUUAGAUUUGCUGGACAGAGUGCCUGAAGAACUAUGGGUGGAGGCUCGCAACAUUAUACAGGAGGCAGCAACUAAAACCAUCCCAAUGGAAAAGAAAUGCAAGAAAGCAAAGUGGCUGUCCAACGAGGCCUUACAAAUAGCGGGGAAGAGAAGGCAAGCAAAAUGCGAGGGAGAUAGUGAAAGAUACAGGAAAUUGAAUGCAGAUUUCCAAAGAAUAGCAAGGAGAGACAAGAAGGCCUUCUUAAACGAGCAAUGCAAAGAAAUAGAGGAAAACAACAGAAUGGGAAGAACCAGAGAUCUGUUCAAGAAAAUCGGAAAUAUGAAAGGAACAUUUCGUACAAAGAUUACCAUAAUAAAGGACAAAAGUGGUAAAGACCUAACUGAAGCAGAAGACAUCAAGAAGAGGUGGCAAGAAUACACAGAGGAAUUAUACCAGAAAGAUAUGGAUGUCUCGUACACCCCAGGUAGUGUGGUUGCUGACCUUGAGCCAGACAUCCUGGAGAGUGAAGUCAAAUGGGCCUUAGAAAGCACUGCAAAUAACAAGGCCAGUGGAAGUGAUGGUAUUCCAGCUGAACUGUUUAAAAUUUUAAAAGAUGAUGCUGUUAAGGUGCUACACUCAAUAUGCCAGCAAGUUUGGAAAACUCAGCAGUGGCCAGAGGAUUGGAGAAGAUCAGUCUACAUCCCAAUCCCAAAGAAAGGCAGUGCCAAAGAAUGCUCCAACUACCGCACAAUUUCACUCAUUUCACAUGCUAGCAAGGUUAUGCUUAAAAUUCUACAAGGAAGGCUCAAGCAGUAUGUGGACCGAGAACUCCCAGAAGUGCAAGCUGGAUUUAGAAGAGGCAGAGGAACCAGAGACCAAAUUGCAAACAUGCGCUGGAUUAUGGAGAAAGCUAGAGAGUUCCAGAAAGACAUCUACUUCUGCUUCAUUGACUAUGCAAAAGCCUUUGACUGUGUCGACCACAGCAAACUAUGGCAAGUUCUUAAAGAAAUGGGAGUGCCUGAUCACCUCAUCUGUCUCCUGAGAAAUCUCUACGUGGGACAAGAAGCUACAGUUAGAACUGGAUAUGGAACAACUGAUUGGUUCAAAAUUGGGAAAGGAGUACGGCAAGGCUGUAUAUUGUCUCCUGCUUAUUUAACUUAUAUGCAGAAUUCAUCAUGCGAAAGGCUGGGCUGGAUGAAUCCUAAGCCGGAAUUAAGAUUGCUGGAAGAAAUAUCAACAACCUCAGAUAUGCAGAUGACACAACCUUGAUGGCAGAAAGUGAAGAGGAAUUAAAGAACCUUUUAAUGAGGGUGAAAGAGGAGAGCGCAAAAUAUGGUCUGAAGCUCAACAUCAAAAACGAAGAUCAUGGCCACUGGGCCCAUCACCUCCUGGCAAAUAGAAGGGGAAGAAAUGGAGGCAGUGAGAGAUUUUACUUUCUUGGGCUCCAUGAUCACUGCAGAUGGUGACAGCAGUCACGAAAUUAAAAGACGCCUGCUCCUUGGGAGAAAGGCGAUGGCAAACCUAGACAACAUCUUAAAAGCAGAGACAUCACCUUGCCAACAAAGGUCCGUAUAGUAAAAGCCAUGGUUUUCCCAGUAGUGAUGUAUGGAAGUGAGAGCUGGACCAUAAAGAAGGCUGAUCGCCGAAGAAUUGAUGCUUUUGAAUUAUGGUGCUGGAGGAGACUCUUGAGAGUCCCAUGGACUGCAAGAAGAUCAAACCUCUCCAUUCUGAAGGAAAUCAGCCCUGAGUGCUCACUGGAAGGACAGAUCCUGAAGCUGAGGCUCCAAUACUUUGGCCACCUCAUGAGAAGAGAAGACUCCCUGGAAAAGACCCUGAUGUUGGGAAAGAUGGAGGGCACAAGGAGAAGGGGACGACAGAGAAUGAGAUGGUUGGAUGGUGUUCUUGAAGCUACCAGCAUGAGUUUGAUCAAACUGCGGGAGGCAGUGGAGGACAGAAGUGCCUGGCGUGCUCUGGUCCAUGGGGUCACGAAGAGUCGGACACGACUAAACGACUAAACAACAACAACAAGAACCUAUUAACAGUACACUCAUAAAAGAGUUAAAAGAUUUUUUUAUUAUUCUAAAAGCAUGCAUGAGAACACAUGGAAAAGCUAGGAUGCAGCAAAAUUGGUUAGGCAAAAAGUGGCAGGCGCAUGUCUGAAUGAGGGGAAGCGGGAGAGUAAAGAGAGUGAAUUUGGUAUCAGAACAAAAAUGGAUGCGACAAGAGUUGGGGUGUGUGUUCGUGUUAGUUUUCCUUACACUUAUUAUUCAUGUUUUACUUCCAGUUAAUUUAUGAACAUUUUCCAUGUCUGCAGAGUCAGCUAAUAACUGAUGCACGCCACCCCUUUCUCCAGGCCGUGGGAGACUUACGCAGGAUUUGUGUUUCCAUUGGAAAUGAGGCACAGCAGAGACUGUGGCGUCUUUAUGCUUCCUUUAUAUACAACCUGAGCUGACUGUGGAGGGGCCCAAAGCAAUACACCCAAGAGAGUCUCUUGCUUCUCUUGCAAAACUCCACCCUCCUGGCUUUUCAUCUUACUCGAAAACCCAGGGCUCAGUGAGGGGCGUCCCCCAUCCAGCUGCCUGGCACUUUUGUCAGGUUAGGGCCUUGGCUGACCUCAGGCUUUGUUCCCCAAAAGACCCACACUCACCAGGCUGCCCUGGCUUACAUUUUAACAUAGGCUGCAUCCAGUGCUUCACUGUUUGGCACAGCUUAGCUCUCUAAACCUUGAUUAAUUCAAACUUUUAUUGGACUGAGGAAUUUAGGGUGUCUCUCACCCCACAGACUCAUGACAUAACUAAGGUGAGCCAUUCUAUGCACAAGGAGCUGGCAUAAAGCAAGCUGGUGUAAGCUGAGCUGACGUGAUGUUAUACCAGAUCCAGUUAUACGGCAGUGUGGCAUAACGGUUAGAGUGUUGGACUAUGGCCUGGGAGAGACCAGGGUUUGGAUCCCCACUCAGCCAUGAAGCCCACCGGGUAACCUUGAGCCAGACACCAUCUCUUAGCCUGUCCGACCUCACAGGGUUGUUGUGAGGAUGAAAUGGGGAGGGAGAGAACCAUGUACAGCACCUUGAGCUCCUUGGAGUUUAUUUAAAGGUUGUAUUUAGCCAUGGGGCUGACAUGAGCAGGGUAUGGCAGCAUAUCCUUCGCCAAGCCAGGUUUGGGGACUUAAUGCCGACUGAGUCAGAGAUCUGUGGCAUCCUAAACUGCUCAUCCUGGUAGAUUUUACCAAAGGAUUGCCCUCUUAUUCCCCCUUGUAUUGUCUUUUAAUAAAAGCAAUUUCCUACAAGCCAUUAUUUUCAAUUGUUGCUUUCAUACUACAACAUCUAGCACAUCAUAUGUUAUACUCAUGUCAAAAUACUGUUUGUGCUUCAUCCAACUUAUGACAGAAACUUUUUCUCUUCAAAAGAAGUUGGUUCACUUUCCAUGCAAAAGUUGUACGUUGCCUUUCACUCAGUUCAUGCACGAUGGACACUGCUGAGCUGGGAUAGUAAUAAGCUCAAUCACUGCUUCCUUAAGCAAGAAAUAAAAAUUGGAAUCAGGCCCAGCAUAGGGGUCAUCUUCUCUGAAUAUUAUGUAAACCUCUCCUGUUUGUUUUCCCCUCUCCAUAUGUCUAUCAAAUCUGCUUCCUCUAUUAAAUCCUUAAAUAUGAAACAGAGAGAUGCUUCUUAGACCUCCCUUUCCUAUCCUCUUUGUUGUCCAUACAAAUGUUGAGAUCCCCUCCUAGGAUCAAAAUUCAUUUUUAAAAAUGUCUAGUUUUCUCAAAGCAAUAUCUAUAUAAGAAUUAUUCUCUUGGUGAAGUUUUCCACUAAUGAAAAUAUAACAACCACCUGAGGCUUUUUUCAAUAGCCUCCAGUCCACCUUUUCCAUUAAAAAAUAGCCUGCCCCACUCCCAAAUUUAAAGCUACCCUCUACCAAAUAUGUGUGCUCAGUCCAUGUGUCCAUAUGUAGUUGUUUUGCCAUAGUUGUUUUCCUUUAAAAAUAAAUAUACCAGCUUAUCUAUUUUGCAAACAUUCAAGACAUGGUUUCUAAAAUGGGUUACACAGCCCUCUAAUGUUACGGUAAGUGAUUUGACUUUAAGUGCACUCAUUUCCACUAGUUCACAUUUCAAACUGUCUUUUACUCAUUGUCACACAAGCCUGAUGUCUUUGCAGAGCCUGAUACCUGCUUUUACAAACAAAACCUAUGAAAUCAGAGCUCUAGUUUGCAUCAUGUAAACCUGCCUCUUCCUGGUUCAGGGGCAUUAUUUAAGCCCUCCCCACUGGCUUAGCAGAGACAAAGUGGAGUUGGCUGUUAAACAAAGUGUGAGUCUGUUAAACUCAGUAAACUGACCAGAAGGGCAAAAAAAAUAAUUUAAAAAAUUGAUUUCUUUUUGGAUGCAAGGCUGCACCAAUGGGAGAAACAGGACCCUCUUGGAGUGUAAUCCAUCAAGUUGCAUACUGUGUAUUUGUAAAUAAGCCGUAUAUCAUAAAGACACCACAGUCUCUGCUGCACCUUAUUUCCAAAGGAAACAAGAACCUUGGAAUCUUGCACAACUCAGAGAUUGGGGGGACAUCAAACAAAGUUAUAUGAAAACACACAAACACACACACACGUUUGCCUAUGGUAUGCCUAGCAGUGAAACAUGUUGGAAAAAGAAAUAACAUUGUUUAACCUUUCCUUUUAAAAAUGCAGAAUCUUGUUGGCCAAGCCUCCUGUAUGCGUGCAAAACUGUGUUUUUGUUCCAGACAAAGGGAGAGAGUCAAGUGGCUUCUUUCAGUCUUCAUUUAAAAAGCACAUCUCCAAACUGCUUAAAAUAUGUUGGACGAAAGGGGGCAAAAUAGAUUCUUCAAUAAACUUGACUUUACACAUCUGUGAUAUUAGAUGAAAGGAACUAGUAAAAAGGUAAGCAACAAAUCUUCUUAAAGGUAGAUAGAGGGACAACAUCCAAUCAUUCUUUUUUAUUACCGUUCAAAGAAAGAUAAUGAAAAACCAUCCAUUUUUGGACUACCAGACAACCUUGUGAAACUUGUGUAAAUAAAAGAGAAUUGUCAGUGUUACAAUAAAUCCAAGUGUCACCAAUAUAACAAUGAUAAUUAAGCCCACAGUGAGUUAUGACCCUCACUUGCCUCAGGCUUCAUAAGCCAGCCAGGAAGUCUGUAAAAUACACUUUAAACAAAUCUCCAAGGUUUGUAAGAUUAGCUAGGGCUGCUUAGGAAACAAAGCAAUUAAACAAACCUCAGCGCUUGAAAGACUCUCAUGGCUUCCUUCUGACAGUAUGACACUUAAAGUAAGGCAUGCGUCUAGUUCUUUUGCAGUGGUAGCUGCUGACAUUAUCUGCACCUUCCAGUUCCUAAAAAAAGAGUUGAGCCAAGCUAGAGCCACAGUUUCCUGGUACUGUAUGUGUUGUUUGGGACAAACAUAAGUCUUCCUGCUUCAUGGACCCUUCUAUGAAGCCAGGAAGCAGAUGUGUACGAGAGAGAGUUUACUUUGCUAACCCAGAUUUGGCCUAGACAAUAGAAACAAAUAUAGAAUCAUAGAAUUGUAGAGCUGGCAGCGACCACGAGGGUCAUCUAAACCAGCCCCCUGCAAUGUAGUAAUAUUUGUGCCCAACAUGGGGCUCAAACCCCUGACCCUCAGAGUAUGAGUGCCAUGCUCUACUGACUGAGCUAUUGCCGCACCUUGUAAAAUCUGUAAGACGGUGAGAUAGGUGCAGCUGGUAUCUAGUCAUUACGACAGACCGUUUUAAAAAUAUCAUUGGACAUACUUAAAAUAGAUCUUUGUAUUUCAGCUGGCACAUGUACCGGUACCUUGAGGCAGAUCCCCACCCCUUUGUAAAUUGCUUAGAAACUGGAGUGAAACUCUUGUCAGCAGGGAAUGCAAAUUUACCUGAUGCAUCAACAAGGUAAAGUAAUUGCUAAAAUCAGCCUAACCUUUCCCUCAGAGAGGAUUGGUCAUACUUUGUGGGCUCCCUGUGAGCCUGUGGUCAUAGAAGGGCCAUUCUGGAUGAGGUUUGGGUGAAUGCUACUCUGCUCUGCAAGAGUGGGGCACCCUUUGAGUUGGCCCUUUCUUGCAGAUGGAAGGAAUCAGUCUGGAUGAUUUUCCAGCUGACUGGACUGGUGGUCCAGUGGAGGCUCUUGCCUCACUGUGGAAUGGGGAGAUGCACAGAGUCACUGGCACAGUCAUUCCUAGGCAGCCCCACCUUUGUCAUGGAUCCCCUUGGUAUUCUAGAGACCUGUGUGGGAUGAGACAGAUGGGUCAUGACUGAAACAGGUGAGGGUGCACCAGCAUGCCUACCAGGUGAUGGUGGCAGCAACGAGAAAGCUCACUUCCCUGUCCCCAUUGCACCCACAAGUAGCCAUCCCACAGAGCUUUUCUGAGUGGCGAAUGGACUUUUGCCAGCUAGUCAAGAGAGCAUUGCUCUGACACCAUCAGAGAGAGGCCUGCUAUAACAACUUUGCAAGGGAUAAAAUCAUUCAACCUGUGACUCGGAUGUCACAGUUAGAGCAAGCCCAGUGGUGGGGUCUAGAGCUCCUUCUCCUCUUUAGGUCUGCCCCAUCUAUACCGAAUCAGUUUAGAUUAUUGCUGCCUGAGGAUGUGAACGAGCUGCUUGGAGAAGUGUGGCCGACCCCUUGCCUCCUGGAUCCUUGCCCAUCUUCGCUCCUUAGCCCUGGCCAAACAGAAUUGACUGGGUAGGUCCAGGGAGAGAUGGAGGCUUCACUGGAGAAGGGGAGUUACACUUGCCUUGAAGGGGCUGGUGUUGUGUCCCCCUCUUAAGAGGAUCUCCACUGCAACUGAGAAAUCAUAUGCUUAGCACUCAUGGAAAUCCACUAUUCAUUUUACUUUUAGAAUCAGAUUAAUGAUAAUGUAGAAAUAUAUUAAUGAGCCUUUCACACAGAAGACAAAUUAAGAAACGCUGUAGGUCGACAGUGGUAACCUACACCAAACAUUAUCUGGUAUGAAAGGCAGACUCACAAAAUGAAGACAUAAGAGAAUGCUGUUCAGAUCAGGCAGACAGACUAAGGCAAAGAAUAGGUGAGAAAUCAAAGACUUGCAAUUGGCUACAGUGCAUAGAAUAAAACAACUAUGUUCCGUAAAAUCUCAGACAGUAAAUUGGUUCACAUGAGCUCUCUCUUUGUAUAAUGCUAACCUGCUGCUGAAAUAAGGAUUUCCUGAGUGCAGGUAAAGCAGAAUCUCAGACAAUGACAUUAUGGAACACAAUGAGGACAUAUAACAGCACAACCAGCAAAAGAUAGCCAGAGCUUCUAGGGUGGUGGAGCACUGAACAGCAAAGGGGCUUUUAUCUGGGCUCAGCUCAUUUAACCCAGCAAAAGAGGCUUCGAUAGUGAUCUAAUCCCAUUAAUUUCCAUAUAGCAGAUUGCAGACUGUUAUUUAACACACAUAAAAGGUGAAAAAUGGAAAGCAAGGAAGGAACCCUUUUAACACUAUGAUUUCUCAGAAUUAGAAUAUUAAAGAAAGCUAGUUUUAAAAGUGCCUGUACAUUUCAUGGGUUUUCCUCCCACUAUCACAAACUCCUGAUUUCCUCAAGCUGUAGGAACUUCCAGGAUGCUGUUUUUGGGUCUGUUUCCUUCGGAGGAGAAAAGAGCAGAGAUUUGUGGUGGGUUUUUGUUUUUUGCCUGAAAGAUUCACCCAGGGAGAAGAUAGGGAGCCGUGUUGGUGUUGAGCAGAGUGUUGGCAGCACAAUCUUCUCCUCUCCCUACUCUUUUGGUUGUGGGACUGGUAGGUGUGAGCAUUUUUAUGGCUUUAGCAGUAUGUGGACCGAGAACUCCCAGAAGUGCAAGCUGGAUUUUGAAGGGACAGAGGAACCAGAAACCAAAUUGCAAACAUGCGCUGGAUAAUGGAGAAAGCUAGAGAGUUCCAGAAAGACAUCUACUUCUGCUUCAUUGACUAUGCAAAAGACUGUGACUGUGUUGACCACAGCAAACUAUGGCAUGUUCUUAAAAAAAUGGGAGUGCCUGAUCACCUCAUCUGUCUCCUGAGAAAUCUCUAUGUGGGACAAGAAGCUACAGUUAGAACUGGAUAUGGAACAACUGAUUGGUUCAAAAUUGGGAAAGGAGUACAAGGUUGUAUAUUGUAUCCCUGCUUAUUUAACUUAUAUGCAGAAUUCAUCAUGUGAAAGGCUGGGCUGGAUGAAUCCCAAACUGGAAUUAAGAUUGCCGGAAGAAAUAACAACCUCAGAUAUGCAGAUGACACAACCUUGAUGGCAGAAAGUGAGGAGGAAUUAAAGAACCUUCUAGUGAGGGCGAAAGAGGAGAAAGCAAAAUAUGAUCUGAAGCUCAAGGUCAAAAAAAACUAAGAUCAUGGCCACUGGUCCCAUCACCUCCUGGCAAAUAGAAGAGGAAGAAAUGGAGGCAGUGAGAGAUUUUACUUUCUUGGGCUCCAUGAUCACUGCAGAUGGUGACAUCAGUCACAAAAUUAAGAGACACCUGUUUCUUGGGAGAAAAGCAAUGACAAACAUAGACAGCAUCUUAAAAAGCAGAAUCAUAGAAUCANNNNNNNNNNNNNNNNNNNNNNNNNNNNNNNNNNNNNNNNNNNNNNNNNNNNNNNNNNNNNNNNNNNNNNNNNNNNNNNNNNNNNNNNNNNNNNNNNNNNNNNNNNNNNNNNNNNNNNNNNNNNNNNNNNNNNNNNNNNNNNNNNNNNNNNNNNNNNNNNNNNNNNNNNNNNNNNNNNNNNNNNNNNNNNNNNNNNNNNNUAGAGUUGGAAGAGACCACAAGGGCCAUCGAGUCCAACCCCUGCCAAGCAGGAAACACCAUCAGAGCACUCCUGACAUAUGGUUGUCAAGCCUCUGCUUAAAGACCUCCAAAGAAGGAGACUCCACCACACUCCUUGGCAGCAAAUUCCACUGUCGAACAGCUCUUACUGUCAGGAAGUUCUUCCUAAUGUUUAGGUGGAAUCUUCUUUCUUGUAGUCUGGAUCCAUUGCUCCGUGUCCGCUUCUCUGCAGCAGAAGAAAACAACCUUUCUCCUUCCUCUAUGUGACAUCCUUUUAUAUAUUUGAACAUGGCUAUCAUAUCACCCCUUAACCUCCUCUUCUCCAGGCUAAACAUGCCCAGCUCCCUUAGCUGUUCCUCAUAAGGCUUCAUUUCCAGGCCUUUGACCAUUUUGGUUGCCCUCCUCUGGACACGUUCCAGUUUGUCAGUGUCCUUCUUGAACUGUGGUGCCCAGAACUGGACACAGUACUCCAGGUGAGGUCUGACCAGAGCAGAAUACAGUGGCACUAUUACUUCCCUUGAUCUAGAUGCUAUACUCCUAUUGAUGCAGCCCAGAAUUGCAUUGGCUUUUUUAGCUGCCGCGUCACACUGUUGGCUCAUGUCAAGUUUGUGGUCAACCAAGACUCCUAGAUCCUUUUCACAUGUACUGCUCUCAAGCCAGGUGUCACCCAUCCUGUAUUUGUGCCUCUCAUUUUUUUUGCCCAAGUGCAAUACUUUACAUUUCUCCUGUUAAAGUUCAUCUUGUUUGUUUUGGCCCAGUUCUCUAAUCUGUCAAGGUCGUUUUGAAGUGUGAUCCUGUCCUCUGGGGUGUUAGCCACCCCUCCCAGUUUGGUGUCAUCUGCAAAUUUGAUCAGGAUGCCCUUGAGUCCAUCAUCCAAGUCGUUGAUAAAGAUGUUGAAUAAGACCGGGCCCAAGACAGAACCCUGUGGCACCCCACUAGUCACUCUUCUCCAGGAUGAAGAGGAACCAUUGAUGAGCACCCUUUGGGUUCGGUCAGUCAGCCAGUUACAAAUCCACUGAGUGGUAGCAUAGUCAAGACCGCAUUUUACCAGCUUCUUUACAAGAAUAUCAUGGGGCACCUUGUCAAAUGCCUUGCUGAAAUCAAGGUAGGCUACAUCCACUGCAUUCCCUUCAUCUACCAGGCUUGUAAUUCUGUCAAAAACGAGAUCAGGUUAGUCUGACAUGACUUAUUUUUCAGAAAUCCAUGCUGACUAUUGGUGAUCACAGCAUUCCUUUCUAGGUGCUCACAGACUGUUUGCUUAAUGAUCUGCUCCAGAAUCUUCCCUGGUAUUGAUGUCAGACUGACUGGGCGGUAAUUAUUUGGGUCCUCUCUUUUCCCCUUGUGAAAAUAGGGACAACAUUUGCCCUCCUCCAGUCUGCCAGGACUUCGCCUGUUCUCCAGGAAUUCUCAAAGAUGACUGCCAGUGGUUCUGAGAUCACAUCUGCCAGUUCUUUUAAUACUCUUGGAUGCAGUUCAUCUGGCCCUGGAGACUUGAAUACAUCUAAACUAGCCAAGUAUUCUUGUACUAUCUCCUUAGUUAUUCUGGGCUGUGUUUCCUCUGCUGAAUCAUUUGCUCCAAAUUCUUCAGGUCGGGCAUUGUUUUCUUUAUCGGAGAAGACUGAGGCAAAGAAGGCAUUGAGGAGUUCAGCCCUUUCUGUGUCCCCUGUUUGCAUUUCACCAUCUUCUCCUCUGAGUGACCCCACUGUUUCUUUGUUCUUCCUUUUGCUACGGACAUACCCAUAAAAGCCUUUUUUGUUGCUUUUAACCUCUCUAGCAAGCCUGAGUUCAUUCUGUGCUUUAGCUUUUCUGACUUUGUGUCUACAUGUGCUGGCUAUUUGUUUGAAUUCCUCUUUGGUGGUUUUCCCCUUUUCCAUUUUUGUACACAUCCUUUUUUAAUCUUAACUCAGUUAAAAGUUCUUUAGAUAGCCACCCUGGCUUCUUUAGGCACCUUCCAUGUUUCCGUCUCAUUGGUAUUGCCUGACGUUGUGCUUUUACUAUCUCCUCUUAACAAACUCCCAGCCAUCAUGAACUCCCUUUCCUUUUAGUAUUACUGUCCAUGGGAUCUCACCCAGCACUUCCCUAAGUUUUAUGAAGUCGGCUUUCUUAAAGUCAAGAAAUUGAGUCCUAGUAUGCUUGGCUGCUCCUUUCCGCUGUAUAGUAAACUUCAGAAGAGCAUGAUCACUCGCGCCUAAUGAUCCUUCCACUUCUACCCCACUAACCAGGUCAUCAACAUUGGUUAGGACCAGAUCUAAAAUGGCUGUUCCUCUUGUUGCUUCUCCCACUUUCUGGACAAUGAAGUUGUCUGCAAGGCCAGUGAGGAAUCUGUUUGACCUUAUGCUCUUGGUUGAGUUUGACAUCCAACAAAUAUCCGGGUAAUUGAAGUCCCCCAUUACUACUAUCUCCCUCCUUUUGCAUGCUUGGCCAUCUGUUCCAGGAAGGCAUCAUCUAUGUCCUCCGUUUGGCUUGGGGAUCUAUAGUAAACUCCCACAAUGAGGUCACUGUUAUUCUUCUCUCCCUUAAUUUUGACCCAAAUGCUCUCACUUUGGCUUUGAGGUUCUAAAUCUUGGAUCUCUUCACAGGUAUACACAUCCCUGACAUAUAACGCCACUCCUCCUCCUUUCUUGUCUGGUCUGUUUCUCUGAAAUAGAUUGUAUCCCUCCAUUAUUACAUUCCAAUCGUGGGACUUAUCCCACCAGGUUUCAGUGAUGCCUAUUAUGUCAUAUUUAGUUUGCUGUACCAAGAGCUCAAGCUCAUCUUGUUUAUUUCCCAUGCUUUGCGCAUUAGUGUACAGACACUGAAGUCCAUUAAUCAUUUCCCCGUGUCUCUUAUUUAAGGAUUUUUUCCUCCCACCACUAGGUCUGCGUGCUGUUUGCUCCAUUUGGUCUAUGACAUUUGGAUGAUCAUCUUCAUCAAUUGAUAGACUCCUACCUUCAGGAGCACUGUCUCCUCCCCACAUUAGUCAGUUUAAAGCCCUCCUGAUGAGGUUUCUGAGAUUUUUGGCAAAAACAUUCCUCCCAACCGUUGGGAGGUGCAGCCCAUCGCUUGCCAGAAGUCCAUCUUCAAGAAACUGCAGUCCGUGAUCUAAGAAUCCAAACCGUUCCUGUUUACACCAUUUGCGAAGCCAGCUGUUCACUUCCACUAUUUUUCCCUCUCUCCCUGGGCCACGUCGUUCAACUGGGAGGGCAGAUGAGAUGACAAUUUGUGCAUUUAAUUGCUUCAAUUUCCUGCCCAGAGCCUCGUAGUCUCUUUUGAUCUUCUGGAGGCUAUUGCUUGCAGGGUCAUUGGUUCCCACAUGAACCAAGAGGAAGGCAAAUGUUGUCCCUAUUUUCAAAAAGGGGAAAAGAGAGGACCCAAAUAAUUACCGCCCAGUUAGUCUGACAUCAAUACCAGGGAAGAUUCUGGAGCAGAUCAUUAAGCAAACAGUCUGUGAGCACCUAGAAAGACUGCUGUGAUCACCAAUAGUCAGCAUGGAUUUCUGAAAAAUAAGUCAUGUCAGACUAACCUGAUCUCGUUUUUUGACAGAAUUACAAGCCUGGUAGAUGAAGGGAACGCAGUGGAUGUAGCCUACCUUGAUUUCAGCAAGGCAUUUGACAAGGUGCCCCAUGAUAUUCUUGUAAAGAAGCUGGUAAAAUGCGGUCUUGACUAUGCUACCACUCAGUGGAUUUGUAACUGGCUGACUGACCAAACCCAAAAGGUGCUCAUCAAUGGUUCCUCUUCAUCCUGGAGAAGAGUGACUAGUGGGGUGCCACAGGGUUCUGUCUUGGGCCCGGUCUUAUUCAACAUCUUUAUCAACGACUUGGAUGAUGGACUCAAGGGCAUCCUGAUCAAAUUUGCAGAUGACACCAAACUGGGAGGGGUGGCUAACACCCCAGAAGACAGGAUCACACUUCAAAACGACCUUGACAGAUUAGAGAACUGGGCCAAAACAAACAAGAUGAAUUUGAACAGGGAGAAAUGUAAAGUAUUGCACUUGGGCAAAAAAUGAGAGGCACAAAUACAAGAUGGGUGACACCUGGCUUGAGAGCAGUACAUAUGAAAAGGAUCUAGGAGUCUUGGUUGACCACAAACUUGACAUGAGCCAACAGUGUGACGCGGCAGCUAAAAAGCCAAUGCAAUUCUGGGCUGCAUCAAUAGGAGUAUAGCAUCUAGAUCAAGGGAAGUAAUAGUGCCACUGUAUUCUGCUCUGGUCAGACCUCACCUGGAGUACUGUGUCCAGUUCUGGGCACCACAGUUCAAGAAGGACACUGACAAACUGGAACGUGUCCAGAGGAGGGCAUCCAAAAUGGUCAAAGGCCUGGAAACGAUGCCUAAUGAGGAACGGCUAAGGGAGCUGGGCAUGUUUAGCCUGGAGAAGAGGAGGUUAAGGGGUGAUAUGAUAGCCAUGUUCAAAUAUAUAAAAGGAUGUCACAUAGAGGAGGGAGAAAGGUUGUUUUCUGCUGCUCCAGAGAAGCGGACACGGAGCAAUGGAUCCAAACUACAAGAAAGAAGAUUCCACCUAAACAUUAGGAAGAACUUCCUGACAGUUAGAGCUGUUUGACAGUGGAAUUUGCUGCCAAGGAGUGUGGUGGAGUCUCCUUCUCUGGAGGUCUUUAAGCAGAGGCUUGACAACCAUAUGUCAGGAGUGCUCUGAUGGUGUUUCCUGCUUGGCAGGGGGUUGGACUCGAUGGCCCUUGUGGUCUCUUCCAACUCUAUGAUUCUAUGAUUCUAUUUGUCAGUGGGUUUUAUGAUUCCUUACAGUCGUUCAGUUACAUCUUGGAUCUUAGCCCCGGGGAGACAGCACACCUUCCGAGACAUCUUGUCAUGCCCACAGAUCACUGCUUCUGUUCCCCUCAGUAGGGAAUCCCCUAUCACCACUACACGCCUCCUCUUAGCUUUGGUUGGGGUUCUUCCGUGAGCUGUCCGUUCCAAGGUCGCCUGCACAUUCCCUGAGGACUGACUUUGCUGCUCGUCUUCAUAUACCUGAUCGACUGUAAUGAGGGAGAGAUCCUCAAAUGGAGUCUGUUCUUCGUCUUCCAUGCUAGGGGAGAGGACCUCAAAGCAAUUGUGUAUUUCUAAACAAUCAGAGCGAACCCUGGGCCUCCUACCUUGAGUCACGUUUCUCCAUAUAUCUGGCUCCUGUGUUGGUGAACUAGCCUCCUUCUCAGGGGAGUCCCCUGUCUCCUCCUUGGUGGAGACGGUGUGCUUUCUUGCUUCCAAGAAGAGCUCCAGCUCUCUAAUUCUUUGGAGCGUAGCUACACGUUCCUCCAGUUGCUGGACUUUGUCUUCUAAGAGGGCAAUCAACAUACAAUUGCUGCAGGUAAAGCUGCCUGCAACCUUUGGCAAGAUGGCAAACAUUGCGCAGGAACUGCAGGCGACUGCAGCUGUUCCCUCACCCUCCAUCUUGAAAACGUGUCGUUGGGGGUGGCUACAGUGGUCCUCCAUCUUAAAAAGCGUGAAGACAGGACAAAUAACUCCCCCCACAAAAAAACCUAGGUCUCCCCCAACAAACGUUUGAGACUAGCUCCCCUAAAUCUAAAAGAUGGAUCAAACUGCCCUGCAAGCUCUGGUAAGCUCCUCCCACAGCUAAUCACCUGCCUCAACAGAAACCCUGCCCCCUCUGACCUUUGCACAGGGAGAGCAGCUAAUCAGCCACAAACACACACACAAGAAAACCCUCAAGAGAUAUCACCUUGCCGACAAAGGUCCGUAUAGUUAAAGCUACGGUGUAGUGAAGUUGGGAAACAUUGGUAUAUCAAACGCUGGUUCACACAGGAGUGAGGUAUUGUGGGAGAGACAAAACUGUGGCCUUCUGGGGAAGCGGUAUCUGGUCUUUGUAAACUUAAUACUUUUCAUCUCUGGAAGUGUGAAUUAAUUACCUCCUGACUCUAGGCAGGAUGAGAUUUGGGGGCUUCAGUGUGGAUAGGGUUGUAAAAAGGUGUAGGAGACGAUCAAGUGAUUUAUAGUUUAUGAGCCUGGUAUGUGGAAGCGAGGGCUGGGAAUGGAAGCAGGACCUUUUGAUCUCAAGGUCUCUGAGCCUAAACAAAGUUCAACUGUGCUGGUCUCCUGACAAUCAGGAAAUAUAUUCUCAUCAAGCAGCCAUUGGUAAAUUGGUAAUUAACCUAAAGAAAUGAUUGGUCCCUAAACUGUUCUCCACCUGAGUUUUCAAGGAGAAAGGUUUUGGGAAUUCAGAUGCAAAUUGCAGAACAUCUUGCCCUGGUACUUUGCCUGGGGGCGUUUGACCAGUGAAAGGACUCUUGCUGUGUUUUGAACUAUUGAUGCUGUGUGAGUAUGGUUUUUAGUUAGCUGUAUUUUACAACGUUUUUAUUUUCUGUUUCUAACCUUCUAAGAAAUGUGCAACUUUUGAGUAGCUUUUUUCAAUAAAUUUGGAAAAGGACUUUUUGUCUUUUGUAUUCUGUGUCUUUGCUCGGAGAAGCUAAACUGGUGCCUGACCAUUUGGGACACCUACCUGUUGAAUUUCUGUCUGUGUCACAGUAAAGUAACUCAGGGCUGCCAAACCCAGUAAAUAUCAAAGGGGGGGGUUCUCCUCCUUGAACCCCAUUUGAGGGUUGCCUGGGAAAAGGAGGUGGCGGCAGCUUUACCGUUUGGCUUGAGAUUUCCAACACCUAGAGAACUCUCCCUCUUCCUGGCCAAGUCUAGGAGGAGAGGUUGGGGUGGGGGGAGGGGGGUGGAUAGCCAAGCUUACUACCUAUGGUUUUCCCAGUAGUGAUGUAUGCAAGUGAGAGCUGGACCAUAAAGAAGGCCGAUUGCUGAAGAAUUGAUGCUUUUGAAUUAUGGUGCUAGAGGAGACUCUUGAGAGCCCCAUGGACUGCAAGAAGAUCAAAACUAUCCAUUCUGAAGGAAAUCAGCCCUGAGUGCUCACUGGAAGGACAGAUCGUGAAGCUGAGGCUCCAAGACUUUGGCCAACUCAUGAGACGAGGAGCCUCCCUGGAAAAGACCCUGAUGUUGGGAAAGAUAGAGGGCACAAGGAGAAGGGGACGACAGAGGAUGAGACGGAUGGACAGUGUUCUCAAAGCUAAACAACUUAACAACAACAAAGAUAUAGUAAGAUUUUUUAUUGAGAUUUUCCCAUCAUACAGUAAAAUGACAACUACAAAAAAAGAAAGAGAAAGAGAAAAGAAAGAAAGGACUUGUAACUGGCUGACUGACCGAACCCAAAGGGAUUUGUAACUGGCUGACUGACCAGUUACAAAUUUGUAACUGUUACAAAUCAGUUACAAAUCAGCCAGUUACAAAUCCAGUUACGGAUUUGUAACUGGCUGACUGACCGAACCCAAAGGGUGCUCAUCAAUGGUUCCUCUUCAUCCUGGAGAAGAGUGACUAGUGGGGUGCCACAGGGUUCUGUCUUGGGCCCGGUCUUAUUCAACAUCUUUAUCAACGACUUGGAUGAUGGACUCAAGGGCAUCCUGAUCAAAUUUGCAGAUGACACCAAACUGGGAGGGGUGGCUAACACCCCAGAGGACAGGAUCACACUUCAAAACGACCUUGACAGAUUAGAGAACUGGGCCAAAACAAACAAGAUGAAUUUGAACAGGGAGAAAUGUAAAGUAUUGCACUUGGGCAAAAAAAUGAGAGGCACAAAUACAAGAUGGGGACACCUGGCUUGAGAGCAGUACACGGGAAACGGAUCUAGGAGUCUCGGGUGACCACAAACUUGACAUGAGCCCACAGGGUGACGCGGCCGCGACAAAAGCCAAUGCAAUUCUGGGCUGCAUCAAUAGGAGUAUAGCAUCUAGAUCAAGGGAAGUAAUAGUGCCACUGUAUUCUGCUCUGGUCAGACCUCACUUGGAGUACUGUGUCCAGUUCUGGGCACCACAGUUCAAGAAGGACACUGACAAACUGGAAUGUGUCCAGAGGAGCGCAACCAAAAUGGUCAAAGGCCUGGAAACGAUGCCUUAUGAGGAACGGCUAAGGGAGCUGGGCAUGUUUAGCCUGGAGAAGAGGAGGUUAAGGGGUGAUAUGAUAGCCAUGUUCAAAUAUAUAAAAGGAUGUCACAUAGAGGAGGGAGAAAGGUUGUUUUCUGCUGCUCCAGAGAAGCGGACACGGAGCAAUGGAUCCAAACUACAAGAAAGAAGAUUCCACCUAAACAUUAGGAAGAACUUCCUGACAGUAAGAGCUGUUUGACAGUGGAAUUUGCUGCCAAGGAGUGUGGUGGAGUCUCCUUCUUUGGAGGUCUUUAAGCGGCGGCUUGACAACCAUAUGUCAGGAGUGCUCUGAUGGUGUUUCCUGCUUGGCAGGGGGUUGGACUCGAUGGCCCUUGUGGUCUCUUCCAACUCUAUGAUUCUAUGAUUCUAUGAAAGGAAAAGAAACAUUAGCAAAAAAUACAAAAGAGGAACUUUUUAUUUCACUUCUUAGAUUAUCCUUUUUUUCUCCCCCCACUAAUAGUACAAAAACCGAGGAAUGUGUCUGUAUUUUGGCAUGUUUCUUUUGUAGGCACACUGUUCUCACAUGAGGAAUUUCAGACUGAUUGCCUGCAAAGCACCAGGGGAGGUUAAGUAAUUGCUAUUUGAGUUAACCCUCCCCCAAAUGUAAAGGCUGCUCAUUUGGGAGAACAACUUCUGAAUUUGGCAUGGUUCAUGGCAUCAGAAGGGAUGAUGAUCAUGGCUGAAAAUGUCAUCUAAUUCACAUUGUUGCAAUGCAGCCCUCCCCCCCCCCAGCCUCCCAGCAGUCCAAGAUUCCAGGGGCUUCUUCAAGGGUUUGUGUUGCUUUUGGCGAAUGAGGCACAGCAGAGACUGUGGUGUCUUUAGGAUAUACAGUGGUGCCUCGCAAGACAAAAUUAAUCCGUUCCGCGAGUCUCUUCGCCUUGCGGUUUUUUCGUCUUGCGAAGCACGGCUAUUAGCGGCUUAGCGGCUAUUAGCGACUUAGCGGCUAUUAACGGCUUAGCGGCUUUAAGAAAAAAGAAACAGAUUCGCAAGAACUCGCAAGACGUUUCGUCUUGCGAAGCAAGCCCAUAGGGAAAUUCGUCUUGCGGAACGACUCAAAAACGCAAAACCCUUUCGUCUAGCAAGUUUUUCAUCUUGCGAGGCAUCUGCCUUACGGGCACCACUGUACAGUUUAUUCACAUGUACAUAUACAACCUGAGCCUGCAAUGGACAGGUUCACCGCAUUAAAAGCCCCAAAGGGUCUUGCUUCUCCCAUAGCUGCAGCCUUGGAUUCAAAAUUUGCUUCUAGCUUACAUCAUGGCAAACUCUCAGCUCUGGCUUUGCCUUUCUAGACACCUGAAAGUUGGGUAAGGGCCAUUCACCCAUUUGCCAUCUCACACAGAGCCCCUUUCUUCAUUCAUUUAAUGGCCCAUCACCCAGGCUAUCACCCCACCAUGAACUAGCCUGGCUAUUCCAAGAAUUAGAAGGGGGCCCAGGCAUUCAGCUUAACCCCCCACCAAAAAACCCACUCCAACCUUCAAAACUCCCCCUCUCUUUCAUAUAUAUAUGAGAUUUUGGAGUUGGGUCAUGAGGCGAUGAGGCGUCUUUGUGAUUCAGGGCUAAAGUCUCCAGCUGCCAUCUUUAGUGUGGGCAUGUAGGCCCCUGUUGCAUGGAAAUGCUGGGCGUGGUGUAGCCGAGCAUACUUUGGCCUGCACUUCCCACACCUUCCCCCUCCUUUUGGAGAGCAUCUCAAGAAAACCACACUUCUCCUUUUGGGUGGGAAGAGGUUGCUCUCCCAGUUUGGGGCCUUCAUUUGUCUCUGUCUAUCCCCAUCCUGUCUCAUUGGUGGGAGAGAGGCUUCAGCCCGUGAGCCACUUCUGCUUCACCUUGCUGUCAUCCUCCCAGCCACAGCACUAGCCGAUUGAGCAACAUGGGCAUGCCUCAACCAUCUUUCUGCCCUAUUUUUGGCUGGUGCCAUGGCCAGCCUUGUUCACUGUCUUCCUGAGCAACACGUGAUUGAUCUCUUCAGGUGUACCUGUGCCCCCACAUGCUUUGGGGUGUCUUUCUAGCUGGGCUGUCACAUUCUCACAGCCUAUUUUGGGCUUUUCUCCUGGCCUCCCCCACAGCUACCCCGAUGGCCCUUGGGUCUGCAGCCUUGGAAUUCCCUGUUGGCCUUUAUGCCUUCUAUAUUUUAGCUAAGGGCUCCUUUGGGCGACAUUCGGUCCUUGACAUUCCCUAUGGCAGCCUUCCUCAACCUUGAGUCUCCAGAUGUUGUUGGACUACAGCUCCUAUCAUCCUAAAUGCCCCACCCCCACAAAAAAAUGGGCUAAGGCAUUCCUGCCUGAUGCAGUGGAUUAUAUUUUAGCUAGGCUGAUCCCAACAUGGACAGCAUAUGCACUGCCAGGGUGCAAAGAUCCGCCCAGCGCCCCCCUGGGGGUGCAGGUCUAAGUUGUUGAGCUUUUCUUUAGGGGCACAGCGAAAACCACAAACAUGAAUAAAAAGCGGCAAUGAAAACUCUUUUCUGUUUUUGUGAUCAUGCAAAAAUGAAAGACAUCACUAAAGGGGGGGGGGGGGGUACUUGAUACAUUGAUUCUGCAGCUCUUCCACAAAAGCUCCAGGGUGGUAGAAAGCAGGUCACUUUGGGCACAGCUCAGGGGAAAGGGGCCCCAGCACAAGUGAGUGUGUUUCAUAUUUAUUUCAGUCCUUUAUCCGUAAGGCAUCUGGAGUCCUUGUCAGGGAAAAAAGCAGCAUAUAAAGAAAGAUGUAAUAAUAGUGAUGAUGAUGUUUGACAGGUACAAUAUCACCUGAGUUUGUCCUGCGAUGCUCACAGCGUGACAUCACUAGGAAGGGACACACUCCACCUUGUGUGCUGCUGGAGUAAAGGCUGGCUGGGCUCUGCAUGCUAAAGAGAGAGGCAAGCAAAGCUCUCGGCAGUCCUCCACACGUGGGCACCUAGGAAUGGGAUGCGUUGGGAAGCUAAGGGUUUUCUAUACAUUAAAUACUAUGUUGAUGUUUUAAUAUAAGUAAACAUUCAAAACAAAUUUGUUUUGAAUGUUUGAAUGCACUCAUAAACCAGGAAUACCUUACUUACUUUCUUUUUGCAUCAAAUUGAUGAACGAGGUCAUCUCAUUCACUAGCAGUACUUCCCUUUUUACUUUAUUAUUUACUUUAAAUUCUUUAUAGUUACCUUAAUGGAGGAGGAUCCUUUCCUCAAAAUAGGGCAUUUGGGAUUAAGAUUAGAUAGGGAAUAGUUCGUAUGUUUAACACCUACACAAAACAAAUGCAUGUGCUAAGUCCAUGUGAGUGUUAAUUAGUAUUUUAUAAUUAGAAACCUCUGCACUGUGUCUUGCACUCUAAAGCACUGAUAAAAAAAACACACACUGGCAUCAACAGAAUAGAGCCCAAGAGACAGACCUUCAUUUAAUGCUCUUUGAAUGUUCUGAUGCCAUUAAGAAAACCAAGAUAUUGAGAACGGAGGAUUAGGAAAGCUUAAAAACUAACCUGAGUAAACAUUAUCAGACCCCAGCGAUCUGUUUCAUAGAAUCAUAGAAUUGUGGAGUUGGAAGGGACUCCAAGGGUCAUCUAGUUCAACCCCCUGCAAUGCAGGAAUCGAUUUAUUAAAUUAGCAUCUUGCCCUGCCUCCAUGGUACUCAGGGCAGUAUGCAUGGUCCUCUCCUGCCCUUAUUUUAUCUUCACUAGAACACUGAGAUGCAGGUUAGGCUGAAACUGCCCCAAUGUGGCCCAGUGACCUGUAUGGGCAAGUAGAAAUUUGGCCAGUUCACAAAAACGCUGCCAGAUUAAAGGAACCUCAGAGCUGCACACACAUCUUGGUGGGGAUCUGAAUUGGUCCUCUACAGGCAGCAGUCUAUUUCCAGGUAAAGUAAAAACUGCAAGUUUCCACCUAUAAACCUUCAACCCUCUGGAACCAGGAUAUCCGAAGCCUCACCUCCUGCACUUUUCAGUUUGUUAAGAUACCCAGCUAAGGCUCUGCUUUGAAACCUCCCAUCUCUAGAAGUCACUACCAGGACAGAUACUUCUCAGUAGUGGCACCUUCUUUGUAGAAUAUUUGCCAGAUGCUUACAUUAUUAAAACUUUAUUUUUUUCUCUUAUUUUGGUACCAUUUAAUUUUAAGGAUUUAUAAUUAAACUGCAGUUUCAUCUGUUGCUGUUUCAAUAUUGUUGUUUAAUCUCACUACUGUAUAGUGUGCUUGUUUGCUUAUAAAAUUUUAAUGCUUAAUAUGUUAAAAUAUAGAAGAGGCUUACAUAGUUAAAAAACCAAUAACAGUACGAACUGUAGCGUGUAGUAUUACCUAGCAGUUAGGGAGAUGUAAUCAUCAAACUUCAAAGUGCAUCUUUUCUCCUUCCACUUGUAAGGCUCAAGUGUUGAGUGUUUUUGUAUUUUCAAAUAUACUAGGACAAUACCUUCAUUAUUUCAUUUCAUUUCAUUUUUAAUUUGUAUACCGUCUUUCUAUAUAUACCCAAGGCAGUUUACAAGCUAAAUAAACAACAAAAUAGACAAGAAAGAUCACACACAUAAUACCAAUAUGAUCCAAUACAAAAAGUCACAAUAAUUUUAAAAUAAACAACCUAUAUCAAAGAAAACAAUAUUCAAUAAUCCAUUUGAAUAUAAUAGUAUGCAGUAACAUUAAAUAUCAACAAAAGUGCCACAAAAUAGUGUGAACCAUCCCCAGGCCUUGGCAGCCUCAUUGCUAGAAGGUUCAGGCUCAGCCAAGCAUACCUGCAACCCCAAUCUCACCAUACUACUCAAGAAUAAAAGGGAUUGCCUGCACUCCUCAGCAGAGAAGGGUUCCGGGGGAGCAUCUGAACAUGGCUUUGAAUGGGGCCUGGGAUGCUAUAUAACCCUUCAGUUAAGGUGGUUGUAAAAUAACAUGGACCACAUAAAAACAAAUGUAGCCAAAACCAAAUUGUUGUGUUUGAGACUGCCACUCCAUGCACGCUAUCCUGGGAGUCACUCUCAUUGAUCUCAUUUGACAAGAAAUGCAUAGAAUUUCUCUGUAACGGAUGGCACCAACCUAAGGAAUAAUGAGUUCUAUGCCUUUUAUGGGACCUAGAAACUUGGGAAUGCCUUGAACAACAACAAUCAAGGAAUGCCUUGAUUUGCCAUCACAGGCACUGGAUUGUGCAGAUUAAAAGAACAAAAGUUGUGAGUUUGCUUCCUCAAAUUCUGUUUAUUCAGUGCAAAUGACAUCUUCAGAAUUUCCUAAUUUUUAUUUAAGAAAGAUUUCCAGAGAUCAGGGAGUGACCUCUGUUGCUGCUCAAUUUUGAGAUAUUGAUAUCUGUUUAUUGUUCAUCUCAGGCAUUUAUAAGCAACUAGGACUUGCAGCCUAACGUUCAGAAUCCUCAAAUAAAUGCAGUGGAGACAAACAUGGAUUAAUUAACCUGUCCUCUUUGCACUUCACAGCUAUGACUGCACAUAGCAAUAAAGCAGAUCCUAUUGAUUUUAAACCCUCUCAUUACUUGGUACUAUAAAUCCAUACAAAACAUACACUGUUUUCAUCCACAGUAUCUGGGAUAUGUCCCUUCUGGAUUAUGGCCACUGGUACAAAAAGAGAAGAAAGUGUUUGUUAAUUUAGUUAAAAGGAAAAAUAGAUAUGGUAAAAUAAAAGACAAAUUUAUCGAAUGCCUAAAUCCAGGUUUGGGGCAAAUACUAUUUGGUGAGUGAGCCCCAGCAGACAAUUAAAAUCACAAAAUAUGCAGCGAAGCCAAGCAUGGAAAGAUAGGCUGUUAGACAUUUAAAAUAUCUUCUAAGUUUCUUCCAAAGUUCCCCACUUUCCUUAGCAUAGAGAGGUCACAAGUUGGGUAAGUUAAAAAUGGUUUACUUACAAACUUCCCAAAGGUCUGGUUCAUGUGCUUUUCCAUACAGCAGCAAGAAAAGGUUGUACAUUGUAAAUGUUUCUAAAUUAUUUGUGAAGAGACACAUUCCAAGGGGUUUCCAUAUCGACAGAGAAUAGGCAGAAAGAGACUUUCCAAAAUAUGCAGUAGAUGAGGUAUUGGUCUAAGUCUCCUGCUGUGUAGAGAGUGACUGAACUGAACCAGGGCAUUUGCAGAAAAGGAGGGCAUGGAGCCACGGUGAUUCAUAGCUGUAUUCUAGAAAAGAGUUUCUGUUUGAUCCAGAACCUUCCCCAUCCUAGGGCUCAUCCACACUUAUCUUUGCCCCAUUUCUAGAAAGCAGAGGCCCAAGCAGUCUUCCCCUUGUCCCAAUCCUUUCCCAGGGAAAACCUGCUCUUUAGCUCUACAUCAGGGCAAACUUCAACCCAGAGAAAACCCCAAAUGCCAUUUGCUCUGACGGAGCAUCCAAGAGUGGUUUUCCCUGGGCAAAAGCAGCAGUAUAAGAAGAAGUGGAGAAAAGCCCCCUGUUGAGUAUCUGACAACAGGACCGCAUAGGAAUAGAAGCAGGAAACAGCUUUCUGUUUGUAUCUUGGCUUGCAUCGUUUAAGGAUGGAGCAGGGUCUCUUUGGGAUCCAGGGCAGCUCUGACAGCCACGUUGAGCUUCCAGGCUGUCAGUUGCCUAUACCUAAUCUAAAUAAUUAACAGCUUUGCAUUUGCACAUGAAACUGAUGAAAAGGGAGUGCAAAUAUUUUUGUUCUCCAUUUCAGAGUGUAAAUGAUAUUUCCAUGUAUUAUUAUUUCUCUCUGAAGAAGGUAAAUAAUGAAUAGUUAUUAAAUCUUGACUAUUUAUAGAAACCUCCCUAAUUAAUUUGGAGGUUUUUGAAAAUGCGAACUUCAUAAAUAUUGAAUUGAGUUUUUACCUCAGUGGGGAGCAGUUUUCUAUAUCUGCAGCAUUAACAAUCUGAUAAUUCAUGCUUCAUUUUUCUGUGAUCUGCAGAAUAGAUAAUAAAUGCUUUAACAUCCAUCCUAUUAGAAUUCUUUUUUGCCCCAAAUGUGCAACCUUUCAAAGAAUGCGGAAAAUUAGAAUCACACAAACUGUAGAAUCAAAAGGUAAAGGUAAAGGACCACUGGAUGGUUAAGUCCAGUCAAAGGCGACUCUGGGGUGCAGCGCUCAUCUUGCUUCAGGCCGAGGGAGCAGGCAGACAGCUUUCCGGGUCAUGUGGCCAGCAGGACUAGGCCACUUCUGGGCGAAGGGAGGUGACUCUGGUGCAUUUCCCAGAGGUCGCAUGUGGCUGGCUACUGUGGAAAAGAGGCUGGUGGGUUUGAUACGCCUUGGUCUGAUCCGGCAGGAUCCCUCCUGCAUUCCAGGCAGAAGUUUGGUGUAACUCUGGAUAGAGCCUUAGGAAAGGAGAUGAAGUGAAGCAAGUUGAACUGGAAAUGCCCUUGAAGCACAGCAACUUCUGUGCAGAGGAAGUCCCCAGAACAAGGGAAAUGCAGCUCUCGAAAAGUGUGGGGUGGAUUGUUAACCUUCAUAAAGUCCAUUAAGCAGGUGAAAGAAGACAGUAGGAAGAAAGAAGGAAGAAAGUAGGAGCUGCCUAGAAAAGAUAUAUAACUCCAUGUUCUUUCUGAUUUGCUUCUGUUUUAAUUUUUCCUUGCUGUCAGUCCAACAGGAAUAAGUACUUGCCUAUUUUGUAUAGUAGGAUCCAAUUCUGCCCCCCACUCUGGUGGGAUGUGUGAAUUAGAAAUAAGCAAGCCUCACCCAAUGGCAAGUGAUUCACCUCUUUAUUGCAAGUGUGGGUUAAAAAGCAUUUUUAAAAAAAAUCCCUCAAGUUUCACUUAAUGAGAAACCUCAAACUUCAGUUAGUAUUUUAUUUUAGAAUGGUACAUUGGCAUAUGCAUGUCUGAUUUAAGCCAUUGUGAAACAGUAGUUAUUUGUUGACUGGAAGCUUAUCUUUCCAUGGCCUUCCUCACUUUCACCAGUUUUUCUUUUCUUAUUUCUGUUCUAGCAAAUAAUACCCCCAUACACAUGUCAAUACCAUAAACCAAAGCAGAGAAGAAAUUGACCCGCAUGAUGCAUUUCUAUUCAGUGAUUGCUCUCCAGGUCAGAGGGCUAAAUUGUCUAGUGGUUCAGACUGAAACAAACCGCUUGAGCUGAAGCCUCUAUUUUCACAAGACAUUUUGAAAGGAUGCCGCCCACCUCAUCUGUAUUCCUGUUCAAGGCAACACAGUGAGGAAGAAAAAGUAACAUGUGGAGGAUUAGACUGGAAAAUGGUCAUUUUUUGAAAGAGCUUGGAUAGUUUUUAAAAAGUGGAUACUUAAUUUGAGAAAUACUUAGUUAGUCAUCUUAUAGAAAGAGUGCAGAAAGAUAAAUGUUUCAUGGAAAAGGGGAAAUAAAUGUUCAAGGACUGUCAUAUGACAGACCUUAAAGAUAGUUUCAUACGGGUAAGAUUCACACAAAAAAGGAGUGAUCAAAACAUGCUUUGGGUCAUGAAUGGAGGGAGGGGCAACAGUUCCUUCAGGUUCCUUCCCACACAACUCAAGUAGUCCUGGGGAGUGGCUCCAGCUCUUGAGGUUGGACUUUUUGCUGUUGCUAUUUUUAUUUUUUCAAUAUACUUUAUUAAUUAAUAUUUUCAAUAUCAUAAAAUACCAGCUGUGAGUGCUGGAGGCCCUUUCCACCUGGCCUGGGGGGGGGGGAGGCUCAUCCUGCCCAGGGAUCAUAGGAACAGGGAGACGGGACUUUUGACCUCCUGGGGACUUCCACUAUAAGGGGGGCUGGAAAGCCCCUGUGUAUAAGGAGAGCACAAAGCUGGUUUCAUAGAUAUCGUGAAAAGUGGUCACUGAAAAGCUAUAACAUAUCCAUCAGAGAAUAAACCAAUAUUUGCAAACUCUAGAGAUCUGGGAUUAGUUUCUGUAUUGCGGUCUUCCCUUUCGGUUUAUUUUAUGUGUGAAAUGUAUUGUAUAUGAUUUGUAUCUAAACCUUGAGUCUUACAUUGAUUUUAGUCGAGGAUUAUAGUUUAUCCAACUUCAAAGUUGUCUCGGGUCUCUAUAAUUUCAAAAACAUCUUGCCAAGUUUUGAAAACAUGCAGCAUAAUCCCAGAUCAGACAUGGUCUCCUGUGAAUUUCUCUACAACAAAACUGGAUACAAAUAAUGCUAGAAACUUAAACAGGUCUCUGAGUAAAUAUUUCUGAAGAUAAUGACUCAAAACUAAAAGCAGUUUGUUAAAGAAAGGUGACCCCCCCCCCCGCGCGUGCACACACAUUUGAAUCAAACCAUUUUAACACAUGGCUUUGACAAAGCGUGUUCUCCUUCAUGGAGAGCACGUGUUGCGGUGGGGUCUGCUGAGCCACCCCUCUGUUACCAGGCAGGGUCUCUAAAGAUGGCCUGGGCAGUGAUUGGUUCACUGGGUUGCUGGGGUAAAAGUUAUGUUGCAAUUUUGGUGGGAGGGGUAAAAUGUUUAAAUACUCUGCACGCAGCCUGGAGCUUUCUCUUUGCUUCGUGCAACGGAUCACCUGGAGCACUUGGGCUGUCUGGAGGACAGUAGAGUGAUCUUCUCAUUGUCUGGUUACAUGCCUUUAUUUUCCCCUUCUUUUAAUCCUCUCUAGUCCCUUAAUUAAUUUAAUUCCCCUUUUUCCCCCUGUUUGGUUUCCCACCCCACCCCUUACCCUGCCCUGUGGGAAGAUUCUCCCUGUACCUGUGAGCGCUGCCUGUGCAUCAUCCUCCUGGGCUUGUCUUUCCCAGUAGGGAGAGAGCCCCCAUUAGGGGCUUUAUUUAGCAAAAUGAUUUUCCCCAUUUCGUCUGUUUGUUAAUUGUGGGGCUAGUCAGGGCUGUUCCCAGCUUACUUGGAAUCACUUUCGUUUAUAGUAUCCUCAUAGGUUGGCUUUAUUUUGGGUGAUUGCAGUUCUGUUGGCUGAAUUUUAAUCUAGCCUUGGGCGGAAGCACUAUUUUGAGUUCCUUUAAUAUUGCAAUGAGACAAAAAGGCAGCGCGCAGAAGCAGGGAGGCCUGCACAGCCCGCACAGAUCAUUCAAGCCUAAGCCUGCUACAGUUAGCAGUACAGUAAAUUGUGAAGUCUCUGUGACAUGUGACUCAUUCUCUCUCUAAGAAUGUAUCUGUUGUUUGCAGGCUCAAUGCUAAUGUAUAUCUGAGGCAGACAGAGUGGAGCCAGAGGCUCUCUGUGCCUCCAAUGAGCACUCUGUGUGUGCUCUUUAACUAUGCUGUUUCUGAACAAGUUUAUUUUCUUCAAGUUUGUUUUGCCCUGAUAGUGGCAACUGCCGUUUUAGAGACGAGCCAUUGUGGCUUAGUGGCUAGAGCGCAGUACUAGGACCUGGGAGACAGGGUUCAUAUCCCUCACUUAGCCAUUGUUAUAACAAGGCAAAACAAGCUGCUCCUUUUGGACUAUUUUGUUGCUGGGUAGUUUGGCCCGUUUGUGAUAUUGCUCCCAAAAAGAACUUUGGGUUUCUUGAGGAGGUGCUUCCCUCUAAAGGGCAAGCAGGGGUACCUGGACAGGAAGGGGGGCUGCCUCGAGUUUGUUAUCUCAUUGGAAACAUUUAUGUCUGGCCUAGCAGGUGAUCCUAGGGCUUGGCCCACUUUGCCCUAGAAUUUGAUGGCCUCUGGCAGCAUUUCUGGCCUGAAUAGCGUCCCCAUGUGGUGCACAAAGCAUUGGUUUCACCUGUUCCUCACAUUGUUUAGUUUUUUGAAGACUAUGACAAGGCCUUUGCAGAUGCCUCCAGAGCUUGCCUCUCCUGCAGAGGAUGACUUGCUGAUGCCCCAGGUGCCUUCUUCCAGAAGGAAGCGUCUUCAGAAGCAGCGAUCCAGGAGCAGGAAAAGCGGAGCAGGGAUUAUGCUUACACCUCCUUGCAGGUACAUCAUCCCUAGGCUCUGAUGAUGAUUCAGACAUCACCUUGGACCUCUCCAGGGGUCAGGGUGAGGCUGUUCCAGGUUUUUAGGGAUCAUCCUGGAUAGCUCAGCUGGUCAGCGUAUGGUGCCGGUAAUGCCGAGGUUGCAGGAUUGGUCCCUGUAUGGGACAGCUGCAUGCUCCCCCAUCCCUCUAUCCGGACACUGAGGUCCAGCGCCGAGGGCCUUCUGGUGGUUUCCUCACUGUGAGAAGCCAAGUUACAGGGAACCAGGUGGAGGGCCUUCUCGGUAGUGGCACCCGCCCUGUGGUACGAGAUAUCCCACCAGUACCAGAUAUCCCACCAGAUAUCUACUACCAGACUUUUAGAAGACAUCUAAGGCAGCCCUGUUUAGGGAAGCUUUUAAUGUUUGAUGCAUUACUGUAUUUUAAUAUUUUGUUGAAGCUGCCCAGAGUUGCUGAGGAAGCCCAGCCAGAUGGGCGGGGUACAAAGAGAUGAUUAUUAUUAUUACUGUUGUUCUUGUUGUUAUUAUUAUUAUUAUAUUGUGGGAGAGUGGACUAGAUGAUCCUCGGAGUCCCUUCCAACCCCACUAUUCUAUAAGUGGCAAUUCACUAUGAUGGGAAUGUUAGACGCAGGGCUGCCAUCAUCCCCUCAGCUCGCUAGGAUCGCAGGGACAGGGACAUGUGGACCACUUGCGCAGCUCCACAUUUCAAAUGGAAAUUCCCUGAGCAAUAGAACCUGAAGCUGGUAUAUGGCUUUAGUAGAAAUAUUAUAAGGAAUUAAGUACAGAUAGGUUAAUAGAGUAUUAAAGGAAAAAAAUAAGGUUAGAAUGAGUUAAGAUAAUUAUAGGAUAGAAAACAGGAAGAUGGAAAGAAAUUGCUGAAAUAAUUAACAGAAGUGGAAUACAAAAAGGGAGGUGUGAGGAGGUCGUGGAAAUAAGUGAAUGAAAGAUGGGAUAAUGAAAUUGUUUGAUUUAUUUUAUUGAAUCAUAGAAUCAUAGAAUAAUAGAGUUGGAAUAGACCACAAGGGCCAUCGAGUCCAACACCCUGCCAAGCAGGAAACACCAUCAGAGCACUCCUGACAUAUGGUUGUCAAGCCUCUGCUUAAAGACCUCCAAAGAAGGAGACUCCACCACACUCCUUGGCAGCAAAUUCCACUGUCGAACAGCUCUUACUGUCAGGAAAUUCUUCCUAAUGUUUAGGUGGAAUCUUCUUUCUUGUAGUUUGGAUCCAUUGCUCCGUGUCCGCUUCUCUGGAGCAGCAGAAAACAACCUUUCUCCCUCCUCUAUGUGACAUCCUUUUAUAUAUUUGAACAUGGCUAUCCUAUCACCCCUUAACCUCCUCUUCUCCAGGCUAAACAUGCCCAGCUCCCUUAGUCGUUCCUCAUAAGGCAUCAUUUCCAGGCCUUUGACCAUUUUGGUUGCCCUCCUCUGGACACGUUCCAGUUUGUCAGUGUCCUUCUUGAACUGUGGUGCCCAGAACUGGACACAGUACUCCAGGUGAGGUCUGACCAGAGCAGAAUACAGUGGCACUAUUACUUCCCUUGAUCUAGAUGCUAUACUCCUAUUGAUGCAGCCCAGAAUUGCAUUGGCUUUUUAGCUGCCGCGUCACACUGUUGGCUCAUGUCAAGUUUGUGGUCAACCAAGACUCCUAGAUCCUUUUCAUAUGUACUGCUCUCAAGCCAGGUGUCACCCAUCUUGUAUUUGUGCCUCUCAUUUUUUUGCCCAAGUGCAAUACUUUACAUUUCUCCCUGUUCAAAUUCAUCUUGUUUGUUUUGGCCCCGGUCUCGAAUCUGUCAAGGUCAUUUUGAAGUGGGAUCCUGUCCUCUGGGGUGUUAGCCACCCUCCCAGUUUGGUGUCAUCUGCAAAUUUGAUCAGGAUGCCCUUGAGUCCAUCAUCCAAGUCGUUGAUAAAGAUGUUGAAUAAGACCGGGCCCAAGACAGAACCCUGUGGCACCUCACUAGUCACUCUUCUCCAGGAUGAAGAGGAACCAUUGAUGAGCACCCUUUGGGUUCGGUCAGUCAGCCAGUUACAAAUCCACUGAGUGGUAGCAUAGUCAAGACCACAUUUUACCAGCUUCUUUACAAGAAUAUCAUGGGGCACCUUGUCAAAUGCCUUGCUGAAAUCAAGGUAGGCUACAUCCACUGCGUUCCCUUCAUCUACCAGUCUUGUAAUUCUGUCAAAAAACGAGAUCAGGUUAGUCUGACAUGACUUAUUUUUCAGAAAUCCAUGCUGACUAUUGGUGAUCACAGCAUUCUUUCUAGGUGCUCACAGACUGUUUGCUUAAUGAUCUGCUCCAGAAUCUUCCCUGGUAUUGAUGUCAGACUGACUGGGCGGUAAUUAUUUGGGUCCUCUCUUUUCCCCUUUUUGAAAAUAGGGACAACAUUUGCCCUCCUCCAGUCUGCCGGGACUUCGCCUGUUCUCCAGGAAUUCUCAAAGAUGACUGCCAGUGGUUCUGAGAUCACAUCUGCCAGUUCUUUUAAUACUCUUGGAUGCAGUUCAGAAGCAUCGCCAAUGAUGCCUGUGCUGAUGCCUGUCUGUUGUUCCUUUUUUCAUAGGAGCAGCUGUGCGCAUUUCGAUUGUCGGCCACAGCAUCAUGCACUGAGCUGGCAAGCACCCUGAUGAGUCUGGAUUGGGGGCGCCAUCUCAGCCUUCCUGCCCAUGUUUCUAGCUCUAGUCCGCAUCUGGAUUGUGGGGCACAGCAUCAUUUACUGGGCUGGCAUCAGAGCUAGGCAGUCUGGAAGGGGACUGGGUCUUGGCCUCCCGCAACAUGUGCAGGUGUCAUGGAUAUCCAGGCGCAGAAUGCGGUGGAGCGAAUUCAUCCCGCUAAUUAAGCAGAGGGUGUUUUCGGAUGGCGCCCCCAUGGCAAUUGUGGUGCAGCUGGGGGAGAACAAUGUGGCAACUUAUGAUUGCUUUACUUUGCGCAGAGAGACUUGGGGGAAUUGGUGACCUUAAUACCCACAGUUAAAAUAUUUUGGUCACAAUUGCUGCAAAGGCGCAAUUGGCAUGGCAUUUCUCAACCUGAGGCUGCUGAAAGGGCCAGGAAGCGCAUUAAUUCUGCAGUGUGUAAGAAGGUGGCAGAAUUGGGUGGGUUGGUUAUUUCCCAUCCGGAUAUUACCUUCAAGGAUCUGGCCCUUUACUGCAAUGAUGGAGUACAUCUCUCCGUACUGGGGAAUGAUGUUUGGUUGGAUGCGGUAACUGCAAGGUUGAAGGUUGAGUUGGGAUUGUGAGUGGUUGGGGGCGAGUGUAAAGGGCUCGAUUGGCGGUUAGGCAUUGGUUAUAAAUUGGUGGAGGAGGGGUUAGGAUAGGCUGGGCCUGCCCCUCCAUGGUUGCUGCGGAAAGGGAAUUCCGUUAAAGGAAUCCUGGGGCUUGCCAUCUUUUCGUCCAAUCCCUGGAAUGGGACUAGGGCCGGCAAGCCUUCGGGGAGCAUGCGGGUGAGAAUUGAGGGUCUGUGACUCAGCUCCAUUUCUCUCCGACUUGCUUUCCCCCGCACUGUCUUUCGGUGGUGCCCGGAAGUCAGUUCUGUCCCCAGGCGGGGGGACAGAUAGUCUUAACCAAUGCCUAAACAACCACUCACGGUUUUGUAUUUAAAUAAAGUUGUGGCCAAAAUUAUGCCAAAAACCUUAAACAAAAAUUAAGUGUGCGUUGUGAGUUAUUUGGGGGGUGGCUUGGGGACCUCGUCAUGCAACAUCACCCAAGUUGAAACAGAUGGCUAAUAAGUGCCUGCCUCUUGGCCCUACAGACGUUCAGCAAGUAAAAUUGGGAGGGAGGGGAAUAUGGAUCUGUGGGUGGGGAUCAUUUUUCAUGGAGUUAUUCCAUCCAUGUUUUAUGGUAAUAUCCAUUUCCUAACUGUUCUACUUUUGUAGAAGAAGGUUGAAUGAAAAUAUGAAUUGUCAUAAUGACAGUCUAUCUAAAUUCAGGGUCUCUCACUGCCAGGAUGUGCAGUGAUUUUAACCUUCAGGGCUUUUCCCUUUUAUGCCUUUGUAUUUAUAAAGUGAUACUUGCAUAGAAUAAAUUAAGGACAAUCUUUGCAAGUUAUAAAUGAUUAUUCAUUUGGGCUCUUUUCCAGUAAGUCCCAAUAGUAUUAUAGUAACUCUUUUAAAAAAAUAUUUGUGCCAGAAUGCAGAUUUGUUGUUGGUGAAUUAUUUGAGUUGCAUACAUUCUUAAAAGCAGAUAUCUUUAUCCACACAACACAAUGCUUAUUCGGCUCACUAAUCUGUUGGGACGUAGGGGUAUCAUUUAAGGGGACCAGAAAGGCAGCUGCCCACCAGAGUUCAGAGUAUGCACCAUCAUUCCUCACUAGCACUGAUAAUCUCUGAGCAGCUGAGCAGCCCAAUGUAUCAAGGGACUAUAUGGAGCAACCCUAUUUUUUAGGAGGCAAAAUUUUAUUGCAAUGAUAUAACUGCUGAUCGUUAUAUACUUUAUUUUGGUAUGCAUGUAUAUAUUCGUAAUGGCACAUUUUUAAUGUUGUAACCAGCUCUAGAACCUUAGGGUGAAGCACAGGUAAAUUAUCAAUAAUAAUACUAAAUUCUGGGAUUCGCGUCCUGUGCCUCGUCAGUGGAAGCCCUGCACAAAGCCAUCCCCUUGUGCAACAGGACUUUCCCCUCUUCUCCCUUCAGAAGAACCUCCAGCAGAGCCUUGUCAGGAGAGGAGAAAGGGCAUUGUUCCCUCUGGCAAGCUGACUGAAUAUUCGUAAUAGCUCUAUGUCGUAUUCCACCCGAUGUAUAUAAGGUCUGUCAAGUGGGACUUAAACUGCUACAAGAAGGCAGGUAUAAUAAUUAAUAAUAAUUAAUAUUUACAGUGCAGGCCCAUUAAUAUAAACUCAGUAAAAAAGGUAAAGGGACCCCUGACCAUUAGGUCCAGUCAUGGCCGACUCUGGGGUUGCAGCGCUCAUCUCACUUUAUUGUCCGAAGGAGCCAGCGUACAGCUUCCAGGUCAUGUGGCCAGCAUGACUAAGCCGCUUCUGGUGAACCAGAGCAGCGCACGGAAAUGCCGUUUACCUUCCCGCCGGAGCAGUACCUAUUGAUCUACUUGCACUUUGACGUGCUUUUGAACUGCUAGGUUGGCAGGAGCAAGGACUGAGCAAUGGGAGCUCACCCCAUCAUGGGGAUUCGAACCGCUGACCUUCUGAUCGGCAAGUCCUAGGCUCUGUGGUUUAACCCACAGUGCCACCCGCGUCCCUUAAACUCAGUAGUGCCAUUGAAUUCCGUGGGCUUACUCCCAAGGAAGCAAAUAUAAUAUUGCAGCCUCCCAUAUUUAACAGUUUUAUUAAUAAAUCUUAUUUAUUAUAAAAUAGUUUUAUUAAUUAACAGUUUUAUUAAUAAAUCUUAUUUAUUAUAAAAUUAUAAUAUAGGAUUCUUUGUUGCUUUUGCUGCCACAGACCAACAAGGCUUUCCUUCCAAACUUCCUAUAAAAGUAUUUAAAGAGACUGACUAUUUCAAAGUUCUUCUAACUCCACCAGCUAUAUGACAUGAACAAUGGCUGCAAUAAUUAUUUCUAGCAUUCCCUGAUAGCUAAGCAUGUUCUGUUCACUGAUAACACAGUGGUCAGAAACUUUAGCCAUCUUUAAAGAAGCCUUGGAUAUUAAUUAUCCUUCAUUCAAAAUAAAAGAAAAGUUGCAAUGAGUCUGAACAGCACAAUCCUUUGCACAUUUAUUCAGGAGUAAGUCCUGCUGUGUUCUGUGUGGCUUGCAAGCUAAAAGGUUUCAAUCCUUGCCAGGAAGGGACACAAAUAGAACAGUAGGCAUCUUCUACAAUACAUAAAUCUUAAUGAGUUUUGUACACAGUAUAUGAGAAGGCUAGCACUGAACAAAAUAAAUGGUUAUUGAUAUUAAUGUGGUUUUAAAAAAUAACUUGAUGUGUGCAGUUGUCUAGAUAGCUUCUGUGAACAUACAGAAAACAUGGCUUAUCAAGCUCUUUAAUUUAAUAUAUAGCACAUUUUGAACUAAUAAGACUAAUCAUUGUUCCCUCAUCAUAUCAUAUUUUGCAACACAAAUGGGUUUUUUAACACUGAAAAUAAAAUGCCUGGGUUUUGAAUCUACAUUUUAGUCAUCUUUAAAGAAGCCUUGGAUAAUAAUUAUCCUUCAUUCAAAAUAAAAGGGAGCUGCAAUGAGUCACAUGACCCGCACAAGAUCAUGGGCCUCCCAAAUGUGUGUUUUGGGGUGCCAUGCAAGAUCUCUACUCCCCCAAAAAGUGCUUUUUCAGGGCAGCACUCUUGCACAGUGCCCUAAAACGUGUGGUUUGGGCACUGUGCCUGAAAAAAGUCCAGCCCAAAAUCAUGCAUGAUCGCGGCAGCCACUUUGGCCACUGCCUUCUCUCAAGAAAAAACAGGAUGCCCCCUUUUUUCCAGGGCUGUAUCUAUUUAUUUAUAUUUGGUCAUUAUGAAAAAAACACUGCUUUCUUUAUAAGGUCCCGGGGGUUAAAACCAUAAAAAUGUAAUAAACAUUAAAAAUCCAAAACCAUGUCAUUUCAAAGAAAAUUGAAUCCGCCUGUCAGCAGCAAACACAACAUCACUGACCUCUAAUGCCGCUGUCUGUCCCCAAGCCUCCAGAGACAUGGGGGGCCAUUAAGGGGGCGGUAGCAGCAGCAGCCUCCCCCUCGAAGGGUGCCCCCCCCACCUGGUGAGCCGGGAGGCAUCAGGGUGGCAUGGGGGCAGGACCUUCAGAGGACACUUUUCUUUGGGUCCCUCAGAUGUCGAGCCCACAUGGACUGGAAUUUGUGUUAGCUUGAUGUUUUCAGUUCUCUCUCUAUAGUUAAAUAUUUUAUCAGUCCAUUUGUCAUGUUUUGAGCCCACUUGUUACUGGAUUUCUUUCUGAACUAAUUUGCUGGUUUUUAAUCAUUUCUAUUGUGUUGUUGUUGUGAAUCUGUAUUGCUGUUCAUUGCCUUAGGCACAAUACAGAACUGUAUCUGUUACAAAUGAAUACAAUAUGUAAUUAAUACAUUUUCUCCUUCUGCUCCUACUUAUUUGAUUCCAAGUCUCUUCAGCCUCCUACAAAAUCCUACAACGGUUCCCUCGCCAGCCUUCCUACAAAUAGCACAUGUAUCCUAGUACUGAUCUGCACAACUUGUGACCCAUCAACCCACCAUGCAUGAUACAUCACUCCCACCGUCAUGCAAGAGCCGCUGCUGCUUAAAUUGGAACGUGUAGCUACGCUCCAAAGAAUUAGAGAGCUGGAGCUCUUCUUGGAAGCAACAGAGCACACCGUCUCCACCAAGGAGGAGACAGGGGACUCCCCUGAGAAGGAGGCUAGUUCACCAACACAGGAGAAACGUGAUUCAAAGAAGUAGGAGGCCCAGGGUUCGCUCUGAUUGUUUAGAAAUACACAAUCACUUUGAGGUCCUCUCCCCUAGCAUGGAAGAUGACGAGCAGACUCCAUUUGAGGAUCUCUCCCUCAUUACAGUCGAUCAGGUAUAUGAAGACAAGCAGCAAAGUCAGUCCUCAGGGAAUGUGCAGGCGACCUUGGAACGGACAGCUCACGGAAGAACCCCGACCAGACCUAAGAGGAGGCGUGUAGUGGUGAUAGGGGAUUCCCUACUGAGGGGAACAGAAGCAGUGAUCUGUUGGCCUGACAAGAUGUCUCGGGAAGUGUGCUGUCUCCCCGGGGCUAAGAUCCAAGAUGUAACUGAACGACUGCAAGGAAUCAUAAAACCCACUGACAAAUACCCCUUCCUCUUGGUUCAUGUGGGAACUAAUGACCCUGCAAGCAAUAGCCUCCAGAAGAUCAGAAGAGACUACGAGGCUCUGGGCAGGAAAUUGAAGCAAUUAAAUGCACAAAUUGUCAUCUCAUCUGUCCUCCCAGUUGAACGACGUGGCCCAGGGGGAGAGGGAAAAAUAGUGCAAAUGAACAGCUGGCUUCGCAAAUGGUGUAAACAGGAACGGUUUGGAUUCUUAGAUCACGGACUGCAGUUUCUUGAAGAUGGACUUCUGGCAAGUGAUGGGCUGCACCUUACAACGGUUGGGAGGAAUGUUUUUGCCAAAAAUCUCAGAAACCUCAUCAGGAGGGCUUUAAACUGACUAAUGUGGGGAGGGAGACAGUGCUCCUGAAGGUAGCAGUCUAUCAAUUGAUGAAGAUGAUCAUCCAAAUGUCAUAGACCAAAUGGAGCAAACAGCACACAGACCUAGUGGUGGGAGGAAAAAUCCUUAAUAAGAGACACGGGGGGAAUGAUUAAUGGACUUCAAUGUCUGUACACUAAUGCGCAAAGCAUGGGAAAUAAACAAGAUGAGCUUGAGCUCUUGGUACAGCAAACUAAAUAUGACAUAAUAGGCAUCACUGAAACCUGGUGGGAUAAGUCCCACGAUUGGAAUGUAAUAAUGGAGGGAUACAAUCUAUUUCAGAGAAACAGACCAGACAAGAAAGGAGGAGGAGUGGCGUUAUAUGUCAGGGAUGUGUAUACCUGUGAAGAGAUCCAAGAUUUAGAACCUCAAAGCCAAAGUGAGAGCAUUUGGGUCAAAAUUAAGGGAGAGAAGAAUAACAGUGACCUCAUUGUGGGAGUUUACUAUAGAUCCCCAAGCCAAACGGAGGACAUAGAUGAUGCCUUCCUGGAACAGAUGGCCAAGCAUGCAAAAGGAAGGGAGAUAGUAGUAAUGGGGACUUCAAUUACCCGGAUAUUUGUUGGAUGUCAAACUCAGCCAAGAGCAUAAGGUCAAACAGAUUCCUCACUGGCCUUGCAGACAACUUCAUUGUCCAGAAAGUGGGAGAAGCAACAAGAGGAACAGCCAUUUUAGAUCUGGUCCUAACCAAUGUUGAUGAGCUGGUUGGUGGGGUAGAAGUGGAAGGAUCAUUAGGCGCGAGUGAUCAUGCUCUUCUGAAGUUUACUAUACAGCGGAAAGGAGCAGCCAAGCAUACUAGGACUCAAUUUCUUGACUUUAAGAAAGCCGACUUCAUAAAACUUAGGGAAGCGCUGGGUGAGAUCCCAUGGACAGUAAUACUAAAAGGAAAGGGUGUUCAUGAUGGCUGGGAGUUUGUUAAGAGGGAGAUACUAAAAGCACAACGUCAGGCAAUACCAAUGAGACAGAAACAUGGAAGGUGCCUAAAGAAGCCAGGGUGGCUAUCUAAAGAACUUUUAACUGAGUUAAGAUUAAAAAGGAUGUGUACAAAAAUGGAAAAGGGGGAAACCACCAAAGAGGAAUUCAAACAAAUAGCCAGCACGUGUAGACACAAAGUCAGAAAAGCUAAAGCACAGAAUGAAGUCAGGCUUGCUAGAGAGGUUAAAAGCAACAAAAAGGCUUUUAUGGGUAUGUUCGUAGCAAAAGGAAGAACAAAGAAACAGUGGGAUCACUCAGAGGAGAAGAUGGUGAAAUGCAAACAGGGGACACAGAAAGGGCUGAACUCCUCAAUGCCUUCUUUGCCUCAGUCUUCUCCGAUAAAGAAAACAAUGCCCGACCUGAAGAAUUUGGAGCAAAUGAUUCAGCAGAGGAAACACAGCCUAGAAUAACUAAGGAGAUAGUACAAGAAUACUUGGCUAGUUUAGAUGUAUUCAAGUCUCCAGGGCCAGAUGAACUGCAUCCAAGAGUAUUAAAAGAACUGGCAGAUGUGAUCUCAGAACCACUGGCAGUCAUCUUUGAAAAUUCCUGGAGAACAGGCGAAGUCCCGUCAGACUGGAGGAGGGCAAAUGUUGUCCCUAUUUUCAAAAUUGGGAAAAGAGAGGACCCAAAUAAUUACCGUCCAGUCAGUCUGACAUCAAUACCAGGGAAGAUUCUGGAGCAGAUCAUUAAGCAAACAGUCUGUGAGCACCUAGAAAGGAAUGCUGUGAUCACCAAUAGUCAGCAUGGAUUUCUGAAAAAUAAGUCAUGUCAGACUAACCUGAUCUCGUUUUUUGACAGAAUUACAAGCCUGGUAGAUGAAGGGAAUGCAGUGGCUGUAGCCUACCUUGAUUUCAGCAAGGCAUUUGACAAGGUGCCCCAUGAUAUUCUUGUAAAGAAGCUGGUAAAAUGCGGUCUUGACUAUGCUACCACUCAGUGGAUUUGUAACUGGCUGACUGACCGAACCCAAAGGGUGCUCAUCAAUGGUUCCUCUUCAUCCUGGAGAAGAGUGACUAGUGGGGUGCCACAGGGUUCUGUCUUGGGCCCGGUCUUAAUCAACAUCUUUAUCAACGACUUGGAUGAUGGACUCAAGGGCAUCCUGAUCAAAUUUGCAGAUGACACCAAACUGGGAGUGGUGGCUAACACCCCAGAGGACAGGAUCACACUUCAAAACGACCUUGACAGAUUAGAGAACUGGGCCAAAACAAACAAGAUGAAUUUGAACAGGGAGAAAUGUAAAGUAUUGCACUUGGGCAAAAAAUGAGAGGCACAAAUACAAGAUGGGUGACACCUGGCUUGAGAGCAGUACAUAUGAAAAGGAUCUAGGAGUCUUGGUUGACCACAAACUUGACAUGAGCCAACAGUGUGACGCGGCAGCUAAAAAGCCAAUGCAAUUCUGGGCUGCAUCAAUAGGAGUAUAGCAUCUAGAUCAAGGGAAGUAAUAGUGCCACUGUAUUCUGCUCUGGUCAGACCUCACCUGGAGUACUGUGUCCAGUUCUGGGCACCACAGUUCAAGAAGGACACUGACAAACUGGAACGUGUCCAGAGGAGGGCAAGCAAAAUGGUCAAAGGCCUGGAAAUGAUGCCUUAUGAGGAACGGCUAAGGGAGCUGGGCAUGUUUAGCCUGGAGAAGAGGAGGUUAAGGGGUGAUAGGAUAGCCAUGUUGCAAUAUAUAAAAGGAUGUCACAUAGAGGAGGGAGAAAGGUUGUUUUCUGCUGCUCCAGAGAAGCGGACACGGAGCAAUGGAUCCAAACUACAAGAAAGAAGAUUCCACCUAAACAUUAGGAAGAACUUCCUGACAGUAAGAGCUGUUCGACAGUGGAAUUUGCUGCCAAGGAGUGUGGUGGAGUCUCCUCCUUUGGAGGUCUUUAAGCAGAGGCUUGACAACCAUAUGUCAGGAGUGUUCUGAUGGUGUUUCCUGCUUGGCAGGGGGUUGGACUCAAUGGCCCUUGUGGUCUCUUCCAACUCUAUGAUUCUAUGAUUCUAUGAAAUUUGACAUAAGGGAAGAAAACCAGGGCAGAGAGUAAAUAGGGGAAUGUUCUCCUUUCAGGUAUGUUGCUGCUUUUCAGGGAAGAAGAAGAAGAAGAAGAGUUUGGAUUUGAUAUCCCACCUUUCAGUCCCCUUCAGGAGUCUCAAAGCGGCUAGCAAUCUCCUUUCCUUCCUCCCCACAACAAACACUCUGUGAGGUGAGUGGGGCUGAGAGACUUCAGAGAAGUGUGACUGGCCCAAGGUCACCCAGCAGCUGCAUGUGGAGGAGCGGAGGCGCGAACCCGGUUCCCCAGAUUACGAGACUACCGCUCUUAACCACUACACCACACUGGCUCCAAUGCCAAAGAUGCAGACUGCUAGUGAUGGGGUUGAAAUGCUUCAGGGCAUUUCAAAGGAAGCCAGCUGGCAUGAUGAAGGUCUUCUGGGUGGAAGUUAAUCUAGACCUCAGGCAUAACAAAGGGUACUGUCAUCCAAGGGAAGAGGAGAGCUUCUAGACCCUCUUCCUCGCCUGCAAACGGCACUACCUUUGAGGAGGAUAGUUAAAGCAUCUAUCCCUCCCAACCUUUAACCCUGAAAUGAUUAUUACUGGGCCUUGGGAUUAACAAAGAUACAAAAUGCAAAUGCUCCUGCUAUUGAAUUUUGUGCUGACGUGUUGCUAUAACUUGUUUUGAUAUAAUUGAUUUUAGUGUUGACUGGUUUUACAGUUAUUGGUUUUCAUUUCUAUUUUGAUUACCCUUGCACAUAGCUCCAAGCAUUUUGAAAGACAUGAAUCAUAAAUUAUCAAAAUAAAACUAAUUCAAUGAAAUUAAGAAUUUCUUUACCAAGGUCAGUAGAUGUUAGGUAUCUCUAAUAUGCCACAGACUGCCAAGGCAUCUACUGGUUCACACAUUAACCAAAUGUUAUCCUCAUUAAACAUGUUAAACAAAAUGAACCAGCAUUAGUAUUAGUAUUAUUUUAAACACCACUUAGAGGUUUUCUUACAAUCAAGCAGUAUAGAAACAUUGUAAAAUAAAAAAAAUAAAAUUUAGCAAUACUUUAAAAUCAUGUUUGUUUACCAAAAUGAAAAAAAAGUAUUAUCUAACAAACUUCAAAAGGCCAUUGAUGAAGAGGAAUGGGAGAUUGGGAGAUGAACAAUAUGCAUAUGUAAUGAUUUCAAGCAACCUUUAUUAAUUGACAUAUUUGUAUUAAAAUUUAUAGAAUCUAAAUUUUAUAUAUUAAACCCUCAGCUAUUCUCAGCACCGCUCCGGUGGGAAGGUAAACAGCGUUUCUGUGCACUGCUCUGGUUUGCCAGAAGCGGCUUAGUCAUGCUGGCCACAUGACCUGGAAGCUGUCUUGGUCUAUAGAGCGAGAUGAGCAUGCAACCCCAGAAUCGUCCGUGACUGGACCUAAUGGUCAGGAGUCCCUUUACCUUUAUUCUCAGCACUGGCUUUCAAGAAGGAAACCAGAAUGUAAUGUUAUAGGUCUUCCAUCAGUUAAUGUGGCUCUGACAGGUGCCCAUGGCAAAACUAUUAAUGUUUCCUGUGGUAUCUUAAAAGUUAUGGCAAAAGUUGGAACAUGUUCAGAGGAGGGCGACCAAGAUGAUCAAGGGUCUGGAAAACAAACCUCAUGAGGAAUGGUUGAAGGAGUUGGGUAUGUUUAGCCUGGAAAAGAGGAGACUGGGAGGAGACAAAAGAACCAUCUUCAAAUAUCUGAUGGGCUGUCACGUGGAAGAGGGAGCAAGCUUGUUUUCUCCUGCUCCAGAGGGUAGGGCCUGAAUCAAUGGCUUCAAGUUACAAGAAAGGAGAUUCUGACUAAACAUCAGGAAGAACUUUGUGAAGAUGUGAACUGUUUGACAGUGAAUCUGUCUCCUUGGAAGAUGGUGGACUCUCCUUCCUUGGAGGUUUUAAAGCAGAGGAUGGGUGACCAUCUGUCAUGGAUGAUCUAGUAUGGAUUCCUGCAUUGCAGGGGGUUGGACUACAUGCCUCUUGGGUUCCCUUACAAUGCUACAGUUCUCCCUUGAAAGACUCUGUGGACAAUCUACCAGGAAAUGCUCCCAUUGAAUUGAAAGGUAGAUAUGCAAGAGCAUUUCUUGGUAGACCUUUCAAGUGAUUUUAGCUGUGUGCUCUUAAUACUCUUAAUAUCGUCAAUCAAACUUUUCAAAGUGUUUCUAAAGUAAUCUCAGUUCCAAGGUUCCAAAUUGUAUCUAUCUGAAAAGGCAUUCUUUUAAUUUAAUAUCAGAUAUUUUUUGUUAUCCCAUACAUAGUUCAUGAUCAUCGGGGGGGGGGGUUAAGCCUAAAAUACUAUUAUUCAGUGUUGAGAAGAAUGUAUUAAUAGCAGAGCAGUUGUUCACAUAUUCCUUCUGAAAAAAAUCUAGUUAAAAUCAAUUGGUAAAUAGUCUGAGAGAAGAACUGUGUGCAUUUGCUAGCCAAAUUAAUUUUGCUUAAUUAUGCUACAACCCUACAUGUUCUUUGUUACGUUUGCAACCAUUCAAGUUAUCCCGAACUAGCAUUUCCACAAAUGAGAUAACUAUCUACCUUGCUGUUGACUACACAGCCAGUUAGCAAUCAAACUGCUGUGUAGAUAAGAAUAAGUAAAAUAUAAUUACUUCUCUUUAAAGCUACCCUUAGCUAGAACUUUAGGGUGCAUUAAGAAGAGAUUAUUUUUUUAAAAAAAUAGCAGCAGCAGCAGUAGUAUCUACAUUGUGGAAACUCGCUCACAUCAUGUAUAGUCUUUCCCCCUGGGUGUAACAGAAAAGAAUGCUGCCUCAAAGCCUGGAUCAUGGCUUCUACCUGCAGCAGAUUUUGUGGAGAGGGAGGGGAGGGGCAGGGUUGGCAUGGUGGUCAUCCCUACAGAGGAUUGUGACCACAAGGUUAAACCCAUAGCUGCCCCUCUUUGGCCUUUUUUCCAUUUAUGGCACCCAUCUCUCCUCUAGUAUAGUGCAGAUCCAAACUACAGGUCGAUUGCAACUUACACUGAUUUUACUUUGCAUGACCGCAGCUUUACACGAAUUGCCAAUCAAUCAUUCAGGGUUGGAGACCUCGCUUACCAGGCUCUGAAGGCUCUCACAAGGUUUUCCCUUUGCAGAAGAGCUUUGUAAGCCCUCUGUCUUGCUCACAGAGCUCUGGGGUGUGAGCCUCUCUGAGGUCUUGUGGCACCAUAUGAGAUCUUGCAAGAUCUUGGGUGGUUCUGAUUUCCUGCAAAACCCCCCAGGAAUGUAAACCCUGUAGUUGCUUUGGAGCCGAGUAGAAAUUUUGGGCUGACUGCAUUUUGGCAUGUUCCCACCCCCUCUCCUACUCUGCACCAUAGACCAGAGGGGAGGAAAGCACAAACAGCAGGGUGAUUGCAAUGUACUUGAGGGUUAGGUUCUCAGGGGUGCUGUUAGUUAUGUAAAUUGUGUGAGAGAUUUGCAGUCAAACAUAACAAUGCUAGUUAGUAUAUGAAGGGGUUAAGAACCAUAGAGUUCCAAAUUUCUAGAGUAAGUACAGUGAUAUCACAUACCCUCUUCUCCUGAGAGGAAGGAAGCUAAGCUUCUUUCUGUUCAUUCUCUCCCUCCCUUCCUCCUCUCCACACUGCAAGCAAGGGGGAAGGCAUGCCUCAACCUAGCUCCCAGUGUCAGAUGCGUGUCUGAGGCUGCUUUUGCUGAAUUUCAAGUACAGUACAUUGAUUACCUGCAUUAUCUUAUUGCUGUUGCAUGAAGUACAAUGCAUGACUCUGACCCCUAUUAAGUAAGUAAAUUAAACUUACUUCAGAAUGUUGUCUGUUUCACUGCAGGAUGGGAGAGGGACAGCUGCAUCAAGCAGAUGGAAUGGGAUAAAAGAAGUUUUGAAACCCAUUACUAGGUUUCAUUAAUCUGCCUAACAAUGAGAUUUAAAUUCUGCUACUGGGGCUCCUUGGGACGCGGGUGGCGCGAUUGGCAAGCCUAGGACUUGCCGAUCAGAAGGUCUGUGGUUCGAAUCCCGCAACGGGGUGAGCUCCAGUUGCUCGGUCCCUGCUCCUGCCAACCUAGCAGUUUGAAAGCACAUCAAAGUGCAAGUAGAUAAAUAGGUACCGCUCCGGCAGGAAGGUAAACGGCGUUUCCGUGUGCUGCUCUGGUUCGCCAGAAGCGGCUUAGUCAUGCUGGCCACAUGACCCGGAAGCUGUAUGCCGGCUCCCUCGGCGAGAUGAGCGCCGCAACCCCAGAGUCGUCUGCGACUGGACCUAACGGUCAGGGAGCCAGUGUGGUGUAGUGGUUAAGAGUGAUAGACUCGUAAUCUGGGGAACCGGGUUCGCGUCUCCACUCCUCCAUCUGCAGCUGCUGGGUGACCUUGGGCCAGUCACACUUCUUUGAAGUUUCUCAGCCCCACUCACCUCACAGAGUGUUUGUUGUGGGGGAGGAAGGGAAAGGAGUAUAUUAGCCGCUUUGAGACUCCUUUGGGUAGUGAUAAAGCGGGAUAUCAAAUCCAAACUCUUCUUCCUCUUCACCUUUACUGGGGCUCUUUAUGUGCUAGCUCUGCAAUUUGAAAAACAGGUACCAGCCAUUUUUCCUUUCCUUAUCCUACAUAUGUGGGUUCUGUAGAGGAUUAAAUAUAAUCAACAUAUCCUCUUACUAAUUCCCAUUAAGUUGGUCACAUUUGGAUUGCAGCUCAGGGCUGUGGGAUCCAUGGGAAGAAUAUGGCGCACCUCUGAGACUAAUACAUACCCUCCAGCAGCCAAUUAGAGAAGGGAAUGAGACAUAUAAGGUCUUGAUGUGCAGCAUGAAACCAAAGAUAAAAUACAGGCUCUACAGUGGCUUGCUAAAUGUUUGUAGUAUUUCACAUUACACUUUCACAUUAUGAAACUUUAUUUCAUAACAUACUGAUAUUGAAGUAUGAUCAAAAUUGUGCAAUUCAUAGUGUGGGGAGUAAACAAGAAAAACAAAAUCUAACUUUUGCACUUGGGGCAAACUGAAAUAAUAUUCAAUUGAUGAUGUAAUGAUUUGUGUAUCCCUAUCCCUACCUGAGUAGGUAGACCUCGUUGGUAUAGGAUUGCAACUUAAAUAUCAGGAAGACAGGUCAAGCCUUAUUUCAAAUAGAAAUUUCUAUUUUUAUUUUUUUAAAAAAUGCUUUUAUUGAAACAUUUUCAUGGAUAACAAUUCUACAUAUAGUGUCUCUGUUUUCAGUUCAGAGAGUCGUUUUUGCAGGUCAGUUGCAUUUGGUGUGACACACCUGAUAUCAUAGGCAUUGUGAGUUUGGUGGGGAGAAAAAGGCAGGGAGAGAAGGGGGUUGUGUUCUUUCCUUCUUUUGCAUAGGGUACGUGUGGAGUUUUGUGUCAGCAUUGCCUGGAUAGGUUCAUUAUCUAUUCAUUUGUUUGUUUUUGUUGGUAGUAUGGGAGAUUGGGGAUCCCAGAGCAUGGUUGGUUGCAUUUGAUUGGUUGCAGUGAAUUUUGUUGUAUGUGAGGGGGACGGGUUUCUUGGGUCAAAUUAGACAUAUUGAUUGGUAUGCUGUUGGGGAGGUUGUCUAUGUUUUUGUGUUGCUGGGCUGUAUAUGUAAUAAGGGGAAGCCAUACCAGGGUGAAGGCAUCCUCUUUUGUUUGUCCUCAUGCUAACUUCAAUUUGUUGGUUAGCUUUUCUAGUAAGGCUGGUUCCCAUACACUUUGGUACCAGUGGUCCAUGUUGACUCCUGACAAGUUGACUCCAGUGUCUAGUUAUGUGGCUUCUAGUAGGUGGCUUAUGAAUUCUUUGUAGUGUGAGUGUGCAUUGUUGUCUUGGAAAAGUUCUGGGCCAGUUCUGGAAUUGCUUCUAAUCCCUGUUUUGUUAUUUUGUGGAUUUCUUGUAGGACUGAUGUGCAAAAGUGUUGAAUUUUAUGGCAUUCCCACCACAUGUGGAAGUUUGUGCCUGUGGUGGUGCUGCCUCUCCAGCACUUUGGUGAGGUUCCUGUGUGUAUCAGCGCCAGCUUCCAUGGUGCUAGAUACCAUCUAUAGAUAAGUUUCGAGCUUCUUUUAGCUGAGAUGAAUAUAAAGGGUGAUUUUGUCUUCUGGGAUAUAUGGGAUUAUGUGGCACACAUGGUUGGCGAUGUAGUAUAGUUCUAUUUUGGGAAUUCCCAUACUCCUGAUGAAGGGAGGUGCUUGGAGCUUUGUGUGUAAAGUUAAAUGCAUGUAGUCUUUACAGAGUUGGGUUGAUAAAUUUCUAUUUCUGUUUCUGUUUCUAUUUGUCAUGUGAGUCCUCACCUGCCACCUGAAGUGAUACAGUUCUAUGGCAGGUUUACUAUACCACUGAAAACUAAAUGUUAAUGGUUUUCUGAUUUUAAGGCUGUGUACACGCUCACAUUUACUCUGCCCCCAGUGCACUCCCAGAGCUCUUUUGGGAAGUGGUGUAUACACAGUGUUAGCCACAACCUACAUUGAUCAUGGAUCUAUCCUGUAGUUUCUUAGGUUAAUGCGUCCCCCCCCCCAACUUUGAUCUAAAUUGAGAAAAAAAAUGCAGCUAGGUCAUUCUAAGUGGGUAAUGUGUAUACAGGCAAAAUGUGUUCAUUAACUAUUCCAUUUUUUAUGACAAACUGAUGUGUUCAGCUGGAAGGGAAAGAAAGGGAAAAAAAGAGAUUGAUAUUUAGAGGAAAACUAAGGAGAAAAGAGAGUGAUCUAAGAAUAAAUGUCUUUAGGGAACAUGGAUCAUGUUACUGUGCCAUUCAAAAACCUCAGCAUGAUUUAAGCCUUUAGUUAUUUCCAGUAAUACAUUGAGCAUGAGCUGCGCCUUUAGAUAUAUUUGCAACAAUUCAUUGAACAUGCUCUGGUAAUCUCUUGCUUCUCAACUUGCCUUCUUGUGUGCCUCAGCAUCAUGUGUGAUCACAACUUUCGUCCAUUCAGUUGAAGACACUCAUCAUUCACAAAGAGACAGCAGACUGACAGUUUGUGAGUACCAUGAUAGCUUUUAGUCAGAUUUUAACUAUUAAUUGAGAAUGGGAUUUUUACUUGGGAGGUCAGCAAGGAUUGGCUUAUUUUUAGCGCUCUCGCUCUCUCUCUGUUUUAGAAGUAACACAAAUUGUACGUAAUUUGAGGCAGAAUUAAUGUGCUUAUUGUAGAAAGGGAUGACAGAAACCAAGGGUGUUAACAUCUAGCCCCAGAUAGUAACCUCAGAAAACAAGGUUACAAAGUUCUGCAGACUCAAUGUGAAGUGAUCAUCUGUGGGUGACAGUGACCUAGUAUGGCCCCAGAUUCGCGCAAACAUAGCUAUGGAGCUAUGAAAGGAACAUUUCAUACAAAGAUUACCAUAAUAAAGGACAAAAGUGGUAAGGACCUAACAGAAGCAGAAGACAUCAAGAAGAGGUGGCAAGAAUACACAGAGGAAUUAUACCAGAAAGAUAUGUAUGUCUCGUACACCCCAGGUAGUGUGGUUGCUGACCUUGAGCCAGACAUCCUGGAGAGUGAAGUCAAAUGGGCAAAUUGCAAACAUGCGCUGGAUUAUGGAGAAAGCUAGAGAGUUCCAGAAAGACAUCUACUUCUGCUUCAUUGACUAUGCAAAAGCCUUUGACUGUGUCGACCACAGCAAACUACGGCAAGUUCUUCAAGAAAUGGGAGUGCCUGAUCACCUCAUCUGUCUUCUGAGAAAUCUCUAUGUGGGACAAGAAGCUACAGUUAGAACUGGAUAUGCAACAACUGAUUGGUUCAAAAUUGGAAAAGGAAUACAACAAGGCUGUAUAUUCUCUCCCUGCUUAUUUAACAUAUGCAGAAUUCAUCAUGGUUAGUUCCAGAACCUCUUUUUCUAGAAAAAUAGCCCUGGUCAGACCACAGAGCCAUAUAAAGUGGGUGUUUAUCAUCCCAGCCUUGAAGGACAUGCAGGAUCCACUUCUGCUGCCCCAACUCCACAGAAAUAUAGAACAUCUGCACAUAUUAAGGAUUAUUCCAGAACAAAAUUACGGUAAUUUGAACAAUGUUUCUGGCCAGAAAAAAACAAACAAACCAGGACAUGCCCACAAUAUAUGACUCAAAGAGGCAUUAUCAGCAUUACAUGAUAUCUGAACUAGCCAGCUCUUUCCUAUGGAGCCCAGUAUACCUGGAUCAUAUAACUGAUGAGACAUUAUAUCCCAUUGUGUGUGUGUGUGUGUGUGUACAAACACACAUAUUAGAAAUGGGGCUCACUGCAAAGUCUCUGCUUGCUUAGUGCUCAUGGUUCUCAUCCUGCUGGAUCAGUUUGUUUCAUUUCUUUCUUUCUUGUUCUUUUUUUAUUAAAGAUUUUGUUGAUUUACAAAAGUGUGCAGUGUCUCUCGUGUUUUUCCCCCCAUGUAACAUUUUUACAAAUCAUUUUCAUUUGUUGAGACAUUAGGAAGAAAAGGGGGAAGGAGGUGGGGGGGAGAGAUGGGUGAGAGAGGGGUUGGGUGGCGAUGUUUCUAUUUCACUUACUAUAUGUAGGAUUUGGUGUCAGCGUUAUUUUAUUUCUAAAAGUGAAUAAAGUACGAAAAGGAUAGGUAAAAGAGAGUGGAAAGUCUGGGGCGAAAUGGCAGUCCCAGGAAAUGGCCUGUGUUGGUUCAGGGCUCUUUUCUGGGUUGUUGUUGUUGUUUAGUCGUUUAGUCAUGUCCGACUCUUCGUGACCCCAUGGACCAGAGCACGCCAGGCACUCCUGUCUUCCACUGCCUCCCGCAGUUUGGUCAGGCUCAUGUUUGUAGCUUCGAGAACACUGUCCAACCAUCUCGUCCUCUGUCGUCCCCUUCUCCUUGUGCCCUCCAUCUUUCCCAACAUCAGGGUCUUUUCCAGGGAGUCUUCUCUUCUCCUGAGGUGGCCAAAGUAUUGGAGCCUCAACUUCACGAUCUGUCCUUCCAGUGAGCACUCAGGGCUGAUUUCCUUAAGAAUGGAUACGUUUGAUCUUCUUGCAGUCCAUGGGUACUGGACUGGGUACUGCCAUUUUAAUUCUUAAGAGGAGAGUUUUAGGUGAAAAUAAAAUAAGGUAUAAAUUGGGGGGGUGGAAAAGUGUGUCUUUAAAUAAUGUGUAAAAAGGGUAAAAAUAAAAGUAAAAAUUCAAAUAAAGGGUGGCUGCAGCAGCAGUCGUCCCCUUUUAAAAAGAAAACGAUAAAAGUAGGUAUAUGGGGGAAUAAAAACCUUUCCCCUAAAUUUCCCUUUAAUUAAUAAAAGGGGGAGGAAGGGGUUAAAAAGAAAAGGGGUUUAAAAAAGUAGUUUCUUCCUUUCUGCGAUCUCCUUUGUCAUGCGGCCUUCCUCUGUUUCCAAGCGUUAGCUGCUGGAGGGGUAGGCUCUGUUCGGGCUCAGCCACGUGUUCUUUUGGAGCCUCUCCUGCCCUCCCAGUGCGCACCUACCUCCCCUCUUCUUUCCCGUCAGCGGCAGCGAUGGGGGCAGCAGCGGUAAAGCUGGGGCUCCUUUUUCUUUCUUUCUUUUUCUUCCUCUUUCGCCCUUUCUUUCUCCCUCUUUGUGUUAGCUCCACUGUCCUCCUGGUCCUGGAGCUCCUCUGGGCUGUUGGGUGGGUGGCCGGCCGGGUGCCUUCCUGGCUCAAUCAAGGUCAUGGGAGGGGGGUGUUUUGGCUCCUCCGAUAGACGCACCGGGCACCCCCGAUUCCUCUCCGCUGGCAGUGCUGGCGGCAGCAGUCCUGGCAGCCCGGGAGUCAGCCAGACAGAGCUGUUUACUCUGGCUGGCUUCAGGAACUGUUUUCUGCCAUUGCAGCCGCCAUGAUUCCUCACCGGAAGUUCCUUGUUUCAUUUCUUUUGAAAAUACACCUGUAAACUAUGUUAAAAAAAAUGAAAUACAGUGGUACCUCAGGUUACAUAUGCUUCAGGUUACAGACUCUGCUAACCCAGAAAUAGUGCUUCAGGUUAAGAACUUUGCUUCAGGAUGAGAACAGAAAUCGUGCUCUGGCGGCGCAGUGGCAGCAGGAGGCCCCAUUAGCUAAAGUGGUGCUUCAGGUUAAGAACAGUUUCAGUUUGGGGACUUCCGGGUUGGCGCCAUCGGUAAUGGCGGAUUCCCUCUGAGUUUCUGAGGGACCAGCUCCGCGGGAUCGGGUCUGACCGCUACGGCGAAGUGGGGACCCUUCAAAAAUCACAGGCGGGUGAAGCCUGUGAACGUGGGGACUCGGCGGGCACCUUUUGCGCCCCCCCCAAACUGCGAAGGGACCCUUUUACGGGCUCCGGAGCGAGACGGGGUGAGCGGCGCGGUGCUGAGAGUCGACUGCUUCUUCCGCGGAGUGAAGCCACACAGCCGUUAUCGGAGAGUGCUGACAUUUUCCUGGGACAAUUUGACUUUGAAAGUAACUACCCGUGAGUAGGAUAAAAUUGGAUUUAAAGGGAAAAAUAACUUAAUUCGGCACCGAAGUGGGAAAGCAUAAACAGGAAGUCCGCCUUCCGUUCUUGUAAACAGAUCAAAGCAAAGAGCCUGUAAGUGGAAACUUUGAAAGACGUUUGAAAAAAGACUUAAAUCCUAACAUCAGAAAAGCGAUCUCCCCUCCAGAUUGCAGGAGAGGAGGGGGGAAAGGUUUGAACUGUAUUUAUCUGCAAAAAAAAAGAGGGAAAGGAAGCUAAAAUCCACCGCUUAGAACCUGGGAACGGACUGCCCUGAGACAAGGAAUGCCGCUCUGUGAAAAGCACUAUCGGUAAACAGAGUACUUUUGACAGCUAACUCUGCAAGAGAGAUACAGUGUUUCUGGACUUCUCCUGGCUUUAAAGUAACUGAUUAAGUGCAAUUGAAACUGUAUUUUUUUUUUUUGUGAACUGGGGGAUUUAUAAGGACUACUUCUUUUUAAAGUUGCAAUCUUUGACUGUUACUGUGUCCCCGCGCGGAGGUUUGAUAUUGCUACAAUAACAACUGGGCUAGGGGAAUUUUCCAUUUCAAAACAAAUUCUAGCCAUGGGAUUGACCUUGGAUUUCUAUGAGAGUGUUAUGGCAGAUGGAAGAGGAAAGUUAGAGUUGAUUCAGGAAAAAACUACUAGGUCUGGCAGACCCUAUCGGACAGAUACUGCAUCGCAGCGAAGAGCUUCAACAUCUGGUCCUUCUGGACCAUCUGGAUUAUCAGGGGCUGCACCCCCAGAAGUUAAACCAAAAGUAAUGUCGUCUGAAGACGUUUUGGCUCUGGCACUAGGAAAAAUUAAUGAAUCUUUGGAAAAUUUAACUAAACAAGUAGCUGAAACUAAACAAAUAAACAAGUUGCUGAAGCAUCAGUUAAAAUUGACCAAAAUACUACAAGUAUUAAUAAUUUGGGACAGAAGUUGAACACCAAUACAGAGACUAUUGAGAAAUUGUUACAGGAAUCUGCUUUGACUUGAAAGACAGCCGAAGAAGCAAAAGACAUAGCAACUGCUACUCAAGAGAAGAUACCACCGAUAUGUAGGCAACUCGAGGACCACGGUUUGACAUUGUCUAUGAUUGAAUUGAAGGAGAAACAAAGGAAUUUGAGAAUCAGGGCUGUACCAGAACUUGAGAAAGAUAACUUGACUGACUUUCUUACGCAGGAGUUUGCAGACUUCUGGCAACAGGAUUUGGGGAAGGAAGAAUUUAAGAUAGUGAGCGCAUUUAGACUUGGCAGAGGAGGAAGGAAGAACAAGGUGAGAGACUGUUUGAUUACCCUUCGAACAAAAGAGGAGAGAGACAAAAUCUUGAAUCUGCACUUCCGAAAGACUUUGGAAAUACAUGAGUCAAGUGUGGAGAUAUUUAAGGACAUUCCAAAACAUCUCUUGGAUUUAAGAUCUAACUACGGAGAUUUGGUCGCCCUGCUGAGAAGCAACAGAAUCAUUUUUAGGUGGGAAUUUCCCAAGGCCUGUCCUUUAAAUAUAAAGGAAGAAAGAUAAAAAUAAGAUCAGUCGAUGACAAGGAUAGAUUUUUGAAAGACUACGGAGAAGACUUACAGAAAGAAGUGGAAUCUGGAGAAGAGCCAAGAGCACUGGAAAGAGGAAUAUUAGAUAUAGCAAAUUUAUCUUUUGGAUUGCAUGGUUCAGAGAAAGUGACAUCACCGACAGAACAAGAACAAGCACUUGGCGCAGUUGGAGGUAAAGUAAAGUAAUCACAUCAUGGCUCUGCAACUAUUAAGUUGGAAUUGUAAUGGCCUCAACUCUCCUCGGAAAAGGAAAAGUGUUUUUCAUUUGUUAAAAAAGGAACAAUUGGACUUGAUUUGCUUACAGGAAACACACGUGAUAAGGCUACAUAGGAAAGUAUUGAUUAACAAGAAAUUGGGACAGGAGUUUAUUUCAUCUGACAAAGUUAAAAAAGAGGAGUAGUGAUUUAUGCAAAGGAGAGACUAUCACCGAAAUUCAUUUUUAAAGAUGAUCAAGGAAGAUUUGUGGCAAUUGAAAUUCAAGUUCAAGGAGAGAAAUUUUUGAUAGUAGGAAUUUAUGCACCGAAUGAGGGGAAAUCUGAAUUCUUCAAAAAGUUGCAUGAGACCUUAAUGGACUAUUUGGAUUACAAUCUGAUCUUGAUGGGAGAUAUGAAUGGAGUAGUAUCUACAAAUAUGGAUAAGGCACAAAGACAGGUAGUCACAAAGGAUGGUAGACUACCGAAAACAUUUUUUUGAGAUGACAGACAACCUGGACUUAGUUGAUACUUGGAGAACAAAGAAUCCCUUGGGAAGAGAGGGAACUUUCUUUUCUGAAGCCAAGAUGACAUGGACUAGAAUUGACCAAAUAUGGGUAACUAGAGGAAUGGCACCAAAGAUAAAGAAAGUGGAAAUUUGUCCAAAAACCUGCUCCGACCACAAUGCUGUAAGGAUGGAGAUGAAACUAAUAUCAACUGGCUCCUUCAGAUGGAGGAUGAAUGACACCUUAUUCAGAGAUGAACAAGUGUAUAAAAGGCCCAAAAAACCUUGAGGGACUAUUUUGAGAUAAAUAUGAACACUAAGGUUGAAAAAAGAGUAAUCUGGGACGCAAGCAAAGCGGUUAUGAGAGGGUUCCUGAUACAACAGAAUGCAAUAAAGAAGAGAAGCCAAAAUGAGAAGAAAUAUAAAAUUUUGGAGAAAAUAAAAGAAAGUGAGAAGAAAUUGAGAGCAAAACCAAAGUCGCAGGAGAUUUUGAGAGAAAUAAAGUUAUAUCAAGUACAAUAUAUGGAAAUGAUGAAUCAGGAAAUAGAAUGGAAAAUUAAACAAAUGAGACAAAAACAUUUGAAUCAGCUAAUAAAUGUGGGAAAUUGCUGGCCUGGCAAAUGAAAAAAAGACAAAAAUUAAAUACUAUUACAAAUUUAGAAGUGGAAGGAAAAAACAUACAUAACCCAACUGAGAUUAGAAACUGUUUCCAGAGGUAUUUUAAACAAUUAUAUACACAAGGGCCACAGAAAGAAAUGGACAUAGACCGAUUUUUGAAGACAAAUGGAUUACAAAAAAUCUCUCAAGAAAGUAAAUUAAUGUUGAAUUAUAAAAUAUCUGAACAGGAAGUAGAAGGUGCCAUUCAAAAUAUGCAAUUGGGCAAAUCUCCAGGACCGGAUGGGCUGACUUCUAGAUAUUAUAGAUCCUUGAAAGAGUGGUUAGUACAACCUUUAAAGGAAGUCUGCAAUGAAAUAUUGGAAGGGAAAAGGGCACCAGAGUCGUGGAAAGAAGCGUAUAUUACACUUAUACCGAAAACAGAGACUGAAAAGACUCAGCUGAAGAACUACCACCCAAUAUCAUUACUUAACGUGGAUUACAAAAUUUUUGCAGACAUUUUGGCCAAGAGAUUGAAAAAAGUGUUGAUGGAAGAGAUUCAUAAGGAUCAAGCGGGCUUUCUCCCGGGAAGACACUUGUCUGACAAUUUGAGGAAUAUAAUUGAUAUUUUGGAAAAACUAGAAGUGAACAUAAAUACUAAAGCAGUUUUGAUAUUUGUGGACGCGGAGAAAGCUUUUGAUAAUAUCUCUUGGAGUUUUAUGACGAAGAACCUACAGGGGAUGCGGGUAGGCCAAGGCUUUGAAAACGGUAUAAGUGCAAUUUAUUCAGAACAAAAGGCUAAACUAAUUGUAAAUAAUGUAGUGACGGAAGAAUUUAAGAUAGAAAAAGGGACACGACAAGGUUGCCCAAUUUCCCCAUUGCUUUUUAUAUCGGUCCUGGAGGUUUUGCUGAAUAUGAUUAGAAGGGACCAGUUGGUUAAAGGUAUACAAGUCGGAGCUAAACAGUACAAAUUGAGAGCAUUUGCAGAUGACUUAGUAUUGACAUUACAGGAGCCAGAAUCUAGUACUAAAAGGGUUUUAGAACUGAUUCAAGAAUUUGGUCAGGCUGCAGGAUUUAAACUGAAUAAGUUAAAAACCAAGGUAUUAGAGAAAAACUUAACACCGAUUGAGAGAGAGAGGUUUCAGAAUGAGACAGGUUUGACAGUGGUUAAGAAAGUGAAAUACCUGGGGAUUAAUAUGAGAGCAAAAAAUGGGAAUUUAUUUAAAGACAACUAUGAAAAAUGCUGGGCCGAAGUGAAAAAAGAUUUAGAAAUUUGGUCAAAUUUGAAGCUUUCACUGUUGGGUCGUAUUGCUGCGAUAAAAAUGAAGGUAUUGCCUAGAAUGUUGUUUUUGUUUCAAACAUUGCAAAUCGUGGACAAAAUGGAUUGCUUCAAGAAGUGGCAGAGAGACAUUUCUAGAUUUGUCUGGCAGGGCAAGAAGCCCAGAAUAAAAUUUAAGAUAUUAACUGAUGCAAAGGAAAGGGGUGGAUUUGCCCUGCCAGACUUUAAACUUUACUAUGAAUCAGCAACUUUCUGCUGGUUGAAAGAAUGGCUGCUUCUUGAAAAUACAGACAUUUUGGAUUUAGAAGGUUUUAACAACGUAUUUGGAUGGCAUGCAUAUCUGUGGUAUGAUAAGGUCAAAGCACAUAAAGCAUUCAAGAAUCAUAUUGUCAGGAAAGCAUUGUUUAAUGUUUGGAUGAGAUACAAGGAUUUAUUGGAAAAUAAAACCCCAAGGUGGCUGUCACCGAUGGAAGCGAAAGCUCUGAAAAGGCUCAAUAUGGAGGCCAAAUGGCCAAAAUAUUGGGAAAUUUUGGAACAAGAUGGAGAUAGACUGAAAUUACAGAGUUUUGAAAAAUUAAAAAAAUAAAGUGCGAGACUGGCUUCAUUAUUAUCAGAUAAUGGAGGCAUAUAAUUUGGACAAGAAAAUUGGCUUCCAGGUGGAAAAAUCAAAAUUGGAAACAGAACUGUUAGAACCCAAAACUAAGAAUUUGUCAAGAAUGUAUAACUUGCUGUUGAAAUGGAAUACUCAGGAUGAAACGGUGAAAUCUGCUAUGAUUAAAUGGGCACAAGAUGUUGGACAUAACAUAAUGAUGGCUGACUGGGAACAGUUAUGGACCACAGGUAUGAAGUUUACGGCAUGCAAUGCCUUAAGAGAGAAUAUUAUGAAAAUGAUAUACAGGUGGUACAUGACCCCAGUCAAGCUUGCAAAAAUCUAUCAUUUGCCCGAUAAUAAAUGUUGGAAAUGUAAAGAAACUGAAGGUACAUUCUUUCACCUUUGGUGGACGUGCCCAAGGAUUAAGGCUUUCUGGGAGAUGAUCUAUAAUGAAUUGGAAAAGGUAUUUAAAUAUACCUUCUUGAAGAAACCAGAGGCCUUUCUCCUGGGCAUAGUCGGCCAAUUGGUGCUGUCAAGGCUGCCUCAAGUCUUAGCUCACAAAAGACCAACGCCUACGUCUUCUUGUAUACAAAGGUGUUUAUUGCAGUUCAUGGUUUGCUUGACAUCCAAGGCGCGCAGCCUUACGUCUCUUACGCUAGAUCGCCGAAGUCCCCUCUGAGUCAGUCCCUCCUCUGCACCAAUUUAAGAGACUUGCGCUGCUCCACCUCUUUCUCUCCUUCCUUUUCCGCAGGGUCCUUCUGCCCCCUGGGGUUGCGCUCUUCUGGAUUCCUCUGACGCGGAAUCAGACUGCUCUUCCCCCCCUCCUGCGGGCUUUGGGACCUGGCCCCUCCUCCGGACUCCCUGCACUUCCGCGCGCCUCUACAUUUGAACUAGGCGCGCGUGCCAAACCUCUAACUUUCCUUUUGACAGUUACACUACUCCCUUCACUGCUCCCCUCCACUUCCGGGAGGGCGGCUUGCUCUGACCCCCCUCCUUUCUCUGCUGCUGGAGCUGCUUCCUCUGACACACUGGAAACUCCACCACCUUCACUGCACUUUGGUGGGGAGGCUGGUCCUGACGCCCAGCUGCCACUUUGGGAUCCUCCGCUGGCACCCUGUUCCUGACACUUCCCCCCCUGGGGCUCCCUGGCCCUGACCACCGGCGCCCCUUCUGGGAAUCCUCUGAUUCGCUGGAAAGACUCAUGGAAUCCCUUGAGUCAUUGUCAUCCUCUUCCUCGCUGGCUUGGAAUUCCUCCCCCUCGCUCUCCAUCUCCUGCCUACCCUGUGCCUCUCUCUCUGAACCCCUGACAGGUGCCAAAGAAGGAUAGAACUUUUUUUAUGUAUGCAACAGCAGCAAGAAUACUCAUCGCGAAGUAUUGGAAGACACAAGACCUACCCACUCUGGAAGAAUGGCAGAUGAAGGUGAUGGACUAUAUGGAACUGGCGGAAAUGACUGGCAGAAUCCGAGACCAGGGAGAAGAGUUGGUGGAAGAAGAUUGGAAGAAAUUUAAAGACUAUCUACAGAAAUAUUGUAAAAUUUAUGAAUGUUAGAAUGAUGUUGGAUAGAAAAUAAGUGGUUUUCAGCUGUAAUACUAUAAGGGAAUAUGAAAAAUGGAUUAUUAAUAGGUAAAAAUUUAACGUUACAAUAUUUUAAGAUUAAAGACUAGGAUAUACAAAGAGGGGAGGGAUUUGCUGAACCAACAAACCGAACUGGAAUACAAAAAAGGGAGGCGCGAGGAGGUCCGGGAAACAAGCUAAUGAAAAAUAAGUAAUGGAAAGAUUGAGUUGUUUUUAACCAUUUUUAUUUUGUAUUUUCUUCUUUUUUAUUUUUAUUUUGUAAUAUUUUGAAAAUCUUAAUAAAUAUCUUAUAAAGAAAAGAGAACAGUUUCAGGUUAAGUACGGACCUCUGGAACGAAUUAAGUACUUAACCUGAGGUACCACUGUAAAAUACUGUGAAGCACAUGAAUUGUCUGUUGCAACACAUUCAUCUUAAGUGUGUUUCCUUACACCAAAUACAAAGUCUAAGUAAUCUGUCUUUUCAGAUUGAACCACUCUCCCAAUAUCUCUGAGACAAAAUGCCAGUGCAAAUUCAGCUUUAGCUGAAAGUAAAUUAUUCAAUUCAUAUUUACCACAUUAAACUAUUUAGCACAAUAAAGAUCUGGGAAAGGACAUGUUGCUAUUUGAUUCAAUAAAGACCACCAUUUUAUCUGAAUUGUUUUCUUGUGAAGCCCUAUGCUACUUCUCAUAAUACUGUUAGGUGUACGCCAAGGUCCUUCUCCUCAUAUAGGCAUUACGAGUGAAGGGUACAAAGUGGUCUGUAACGCAGGCUCAAAAAUAUUCUGAAUUUUUUCAGCAGGAGAUCAUACAAACCUAUUCAGCCCUUGGCAUAACUUCAUAUGAUCACGAUCAAACUAUUAAUCUAUUUGCCAAUCUGUUGAAUGACCUCACGUCAUUCUUUUCUGUCCCAACCCACCAGGCAAAUUGGGCCCACCCCAAGACAGGUGCUCCGUGGUUUAACCGUAAUUGCAAACAAGCCAAACAACACCUUUGUGCUAUUUAUAAUGAUUACAAAUCCUCAGGGGCGAUUACGCUUCCCAAGGAGUACUAUCAGGCAAAAUCAGCUUACAAAUAUGUGCAGAAAAAGGCCAAACAGGAAUGGCAAUUGAACCGCUGGCAAGCACUUAUAGCUGCCUCAAGUACCCGUAAUUCCCGAAAAUUCUGGCUGUUGGUUAACAGAAAAUCUAAAAGAUACCCCUUAACAGUUAUUCCUGCCCCAAUUUGGGAAUCCUUUCUAAGGAAUUAUUUUGCCUUACCAGACCUUAAUAUUAAUACAAUCGAUGGAGUCUAUGAGCAGCUCCUCUUUGGCCACCCACUGACCCGGAAGAAAUCCACGGACUUAUUUCUAAUCUUAAAAUCGGAAAAGCCCCGGUCCUGAUCUAGUCCCGCGGAAGCUAUAAAACUUCAUGCAGACUGGUGGGCGAAAAUCCUGGCCGCUAUCUUUGAUGCCGUAAACAACAGUGGGAAGGUACCAAGAAUAUGGAAGGAUGCAAUUAUUGUUCCAAUUCAUAAAAAAGGCUCGACAGAUGACCCGGGAAAUUACAGGAAUAUCAGUUUAUUGUCAUCAAUUGGGAAAAUAUAUGCACGGUUCUUGUUAACUAAGCUUACUAAGUGGGCCGAAGAGAACAACCUGAUUGGGCCUGAACAGGCUAGUUUUAGACCGAAUCAGUCAGCGGUUGAUCAGGUCUUAAUUUUAUACCACCUUGCCCGGAAAUACUCCUCCCCAAAUAGAGGCCAACUUUGUGCGGCCUUUAUUGAUUUAAAGGCCGCUUUUGACAGCAUCCCCAGAGGAUUGCUUUGGGGAAAAUUAGCCCGAUGGGGAAUAGACAAAAGACUUUUGUGGCUAAUAACUAAAUUGCAUGACGGAUCGGCCGCUAGGGUGAGAAUCACUCCGGCAGGCGACCUCUCAAACUCAGUAGUUAUCAAUAGAGGUGUUCGCCAAGGAUGUAUCCUUGCUCCGACCCUUUUUAAUCUAUUUAUAAGUGAUAUGAGGGCGCCUCUGAUAGAGGCUCAAGAAACGAUCCACACCCCCCGCCUUGCCCAAUAUCGUUGCCCCCUUCUACUCUACGCAGACGACACAGUGAUCCUAUCCUUUUCAAGAGUCGGCCUUAGGAGGGCAUUAAAAAUCUUCGAUGUUUACUGCAAAUCAAAUUUUCUUACAAUUAACCAUGUUAAGUCCAAAGUCCUAAUUUUCACCAAGAGUCGAAAAACCUAUAAUUGGAGAAUAGACGGAAAAGCUAUUGACCAAGUCUUUAAAUUUCAGUACUUGGGAGUCUUUCUCCAACACAACAUGGGCUGGAAGGUCCAUGUUGCAUAUGUAUUAAACAGAGCUAAAGCCCUUUCCUAUGCGCUAUUGCGUUUUUUUAAUUUCAGAUGGGGCUUUCCAUAUUCCAUCAGUGUUAAAAGUUUUCAAGGCAAAGGUGAUUGCAACAAUAGCAUAUGCAGUCCCAUUAUGGGGGUCCUUUGCUAAUCUAACCCAUUUGGAGGUAAUCCAAAACCAGCUUUUAAGAAGGUUGUUAAAAUUACCCAGGUGUGUAAGCAAUACUGCUAUACGACUGGAACUAAAUGUUACAUCUCUAGAAACCACAUUAUGGAAAUGCAUCCUCUGUUAUUGGUUGGCUUUAUGGCAUAAACUUCCAAAUCUCCACUUGAUACAGUGCCUCUGGAGAGAUGACUUCCCUAGCCCCUGGGCAAAAAUAAUACAUGGGAAACUUGUGUCCCUAGGACUAUCUCCAUCUGAACUAUUAAAAUUGGAUUUAAUUUCGGCCAAAAGAAUUAUAACUCACAAAUUAGAGGAGAUGGAUUUACAAUUUAAUAUUGCGACAGGUGGUGGCACCUGUUCGCCGAUAAACCUUGGCUUAACACCACCAACGAAACUUCCAUCUUACUUAACUACCUUAUCUGUGGUGACGCACAGGUAUGCCUUUAUAAUGGCUAGAUUCAAUGCUUUCCCAUCAAACGUGUUGGGUAACAGACUCUCCAACGGACAGAUCUCACUCCUCUGUGACUGUAAAAGCGGAUCUAUAGAAUCGUUAUAUCAUAUAAUCUUCUGUUGUCCAUUACAUUCGGCUUCACGGUCCAAGUUUCUGGCCCCAUAUUUAUCGAGAAUUGCUGACAGUCCUCAGGAAGCCCAAAUAAUAUACUUAUUAAACGACGAAGAUACAAGUAGAUCCCUUGCAGUCGCUAGAUACCUGAUUAAUGUUUUAUUUCAAAAGAGGAGAAAUGGAUCACUGUAUGUUUCUGACAGCUUAGCUAAACUUAAGAACCAUCAAUAAGUGCCAGAACUAAGACGUAUACCCCCCAAAAUCUGAUGGAUCGGAAUUGCGGUUUACAUAGAGGGAGCUUAUUGUGUAUAGUGUUUACUAAACUAAAGUAAAAUCGGUUUUUAUAAGGGUGUUUUAACUUGGAACUGUUUAAAUUGUAUUGUUUAUGGAUAAAUUCUGAUGUAUUGUUUUCGAUAUGGGCCAAUGGCCGCAAUAAAAUAAAUCUCAAUCUCAUAUAGGCCUUGCAAUCUUCCCAUUCAACUGUCAGGACAAAGUUGAAUCUUCAUGAUUUUCACAAUAUUCCUGAAGUUCAGAGCCCAUCUGCAUUCUGAAAUUAUCAUCAUUCCAUUCUUUAUUUUUUUUAAAAUCAUUUUUAUUGAUUUUCCAAUAAAAGCAUCCAAUUAAUAUAUCCAAUCAUAAUACUUCAAUUAAAAUUAAAAACUAAAAUAAAAAGACCAAAUUAUGGUCCAAAUUAUAAUUAUUAAUUUUUCGGAGCUCCCCAUGGUCUGCAUCUCUGAAGCAUAUCUCCACAUCUCGGUCCUGCCUCUCCUGGUUGUUUCCAUAUUUUCCACAUCUCGAUUUUGAUGCUUUAAAAUUCUCCGUCCCUGAGUCCAUGAUUCUCAAUCAUGUCAAACAUCAUAUACUUUGAUCCGUCGAAUACAGCUUUGUUAGUAUAUAUUUUUCCAACUGCCUUUUUAUCAGCGCAGCUUCCUCUGACUCCAUUCCAAUCCGGGAUGUUGUCCAAGUCUGUUAUCUGAAGUUUAAUGGUGCAGCAACUCCCAAUCAUUAAUUGUCCAAACCUUCCUUUUGAACUUUAUUGAACCAGUAUCUUCCAAGUUAAAUUGUUAGGCAAAAUUGUUUGCAAUAUUGCAAUGUAGAUAAACUGUAUUCCACAAAUAUCAGUCAUUUGGCGAUUGAUCAGCCUUUGGGGACCACACUCUCCCCCCUCCAGGCCCUAGAGGAGGGGCUGCUAGACACCACUUAGUCUUCUCUCUCGCUCAUAAUGAAUAUAAGAAACUUCUGCAAACAGCUGCACUGUGUAUUGUUCCAAGUUGUUAUCUCAAAUCAUUGUAAAAUCAGCCAGCACAUAACUCCUGCUUCCCUCAAAGAAAGGGAGGAACAUAUUUUUCCAUGCUGUGUCAUAUUAGCGAGCGCCAUCUUGCCUCCUCUUCCAUCUUUAUCAGGUCUUUCAAGUCUUAAGUAAAGCUGCACAAUUAAAUGCCUAAUUAUAAAUAGAAGUCCAUCUGUUCUCUUUUUUUAAAAAAAAAAUAAGUUCCUAGUGAGACUUGGCAUUGAAAACCAAUUGUAGAUGUUAAGUGGGUGGGGGGGACAUACCAAACACAUGUCCGUCCCCUCGCCCACUUAACAUCAAAACACCAUGAUGAUAAUCUUUUUGAAGACUGAGCUUAAAGCCCCAGGGACUGUACACAUCUGCAGGUUUUUUUCUUAAGCUUCUUCAAUCCAGUCCAUGUCUGUUUAUUGUCCAAAUCCAUUCAUUUUUUUCAAACAGAUGUUCCCGGCUAUGAGAAUGGCAUUGGAGAGUGCCAGCCGUACUGUGCUUUGCAACCCAAUGUCCUGCUGCUUGCACCUUGAUGCAAGUCAGCAUUCUUGGGCAAUCUGCAGGUCUACUAGACAGUCCUCUCCCAACCUGGGGAGUCGGCCAGGGCUAAUUACCCCCAUAUCAGUCCUGAAUUACUGGCACGACUGGGGUCUGGUUGUAUGGGAGUCAGCCAUUUCCCACACCCGGAAACAGGAAGCUCCAUUCCAUUCUUUAUUUUAAACAAUAUUUUUAUUAAAUUUUCAACAAAAAUAAAAAACAACAACAAACUCAACAACCACAAACAAAGAAAUAUAUACAUAAAAGCAAUAUCAAAUCCAUAAAAUGGGAUUCUCCCAUGACUUCCCCCUCCCCCCUCCUCUGGUUCCUUAAUUUUCUUUUUCAAUUGCAUAUCAUUCCUACUCCAAAUUAUUUUCCUACCUCAAAUUUCUUACAUUAUUUAUAAAAUUACAAAUGUUCUUAAAACCCUGCCAAUGUAUUAACCUGUUUACAAUACUUUUGUAACACAAUAAACAUUUCCCAUUCUUUUUAAAAUUUAUUGUCAUCUUCAUUUCUGAGCUUUCCAGUUAAUUUAGUCAUUUCAGCAUACAGUAGUCCAUUAACUUGGUUUGCCAAUCUCCUUUGGUCAGAACUGCUUCUUCUGGGGUAACAGUAUCAGGGCAGCCGUUGUAGCAUACAUAAACAAUUUUUUUUGUUCUUUUGGAAUCUCCACUCAUAGAAUGCUUAAUAAAAAGGCUUUUGAUUUUUUAGCAGAGGUUACUCUAAACAUUUUUUUUCAUUUCAUUAUAAAUCAUUUCCCCAAAGAUUUUAACCUACAUUGCCACCGCAUAUGAUAAAAUGUUCUCUGUUUCUCUACAUUUUCAACACUUAUUAGAACUUGUUCUGUACAUUUUUGCUAAUUUAACCAGGGUUAAAUACCACUGAUUCAUCAUUUUCAUGUAGUUCUCUUUCAGUAAAGUACAUGCAGUAAAUUUCAAAUCUAACUUCCAAAGCCUUUCCCAUUCCGUCAUUAAUAUAUUAUGUCCCACAUCUUUCGCCCGUUUAAUCAUAACACAUUUGACCUGUUCCUCUUUGAUGUCCCACUCCAAGAGCAGAUUUUACAUUUUUUACAGCAAUUUGGUACUACCUUUUACUAUUUCUCUCUGAAACCUUGACACUUCAUAGCUAAAUCCUUUCUUUUUAUCAUUUUAAAAAGUUUCAUUUAAUGGGAAAUAUUGUAACCAGUCUAUUACCUUUUCUCUUCUUCAAAUUUUUAAAAUUUUAAUUGAUUGCUUCUUUCGCCCAAUUUUUCCUCAUAUUUACUUUUUUUUAGAGAGAGAGAGAGAGACAUUGCUUCUAAUGGGGAAAGCCACUAUGGUGUUUUCUGUUCUAAUAAAUCUUUAUUUCUCCCAAACUUUUAAAAUCAAGUUUCUUAUUAUAUGAUUAUGAAAACUUUUAUGAACUUUUGCCUUAUGAUACCAUAGAUACGCAUGCCAACCAAAUCUGAUCAUGACCUUCCAAAUCUAAUAAAUCAGCAUUUAGUUACAGGUAGGUAGCUGUAUUGGUCUGCCGUAGUCAAAACCAACCAACAAACAAAAUUCCUUCCAGUAGCAUCUACUGGUGCUACUGGAAGGAAUUUUUUUAUUAUUAUUUUGUUUUGAAAUCAGCAUUUGUUAAGUUUAUCCAAUCCCGGAUCCAGCAGGUGAAAGAUGCUUCAUAAUAUAAUCUUAAAUCCAGUAGAGAGAAACCUUCUCUGUCUUUAACAAUUAUUAAUAAUUUAUGUUUAAUUCUUGGUGGGUUUUUUGUUUUUUUAAUUAUCUUUAUUGCAUUUUAAAAAAUUACAGAGAAAGCAUGAAUUAAACAUUACAUCCAAAUAUUCAAAAAUAAAAAGGAAAAAUAUAGAAAAUAUAUAAAAACAAAAGAAAAACAAAAACAAAAAGGGGUAAGAAAAAUAAUAAGAAACAAAAAAUAAUUAGUCAAGUACACAAAAUUAUUCAAAGGAUACAAACAGAAAUUUGAAUUUUCUAUAUGCCAGGUUCUCAGAAAGUAUUUACAUUUGUAAUCCUUCUUUUCUUUCUUUCCUUACAGUCACUUUCUAUCCGUUCCGUUAAACUAGUUUGAAUCCCUGCUAUAUUAGUUGACUUCCCUCUAUCUCUUUGCAACUUUGACACUUCUCUUAAGUGACAAAUAUUCUGUAUUCAUUUAUUAAAACCAGUUUUCCCCAUUAAUUUUUGGUUUUCCCCCUCUCCAGAUAAAUUUUGAAAUGUCUUUUUGUCAUUCUUUGAAGCAGCUCACAUUGCUUACCACUGGGAUUGACUCAAAUAAAAACAUUUUUGGCAAUGUGUUCAUCUUGAUCACUGAAACAAAGUUAGGCAGCUGCAUAACAAACCAGAGCAUGAUCUGAAGUAGCAAUUGGGUAUCAAUACAAUGAUGCUACAACAUGUUGAAGUAAAGAAGAGAGAACUAAAGAAAAAUGUCUGAAUGAAAGCAAUUUGGAUGCACUGAUGGAAAAGGGCAGAUCUGAAAGUGCGCAGAGUGUCACUGAGUUAAAUACUUAAAUCUAUAUUCCUGAAUCAUAAAGGCAACAGCAGCCAGACCUCACUAUCUUAACUAGAGGAGCUUGGCCAGUAAACUACCAGGCCAGCCGCCUCGAGUCUUUGCCACAACUUUUUCUGUGAGCACUUACAAUACAGAAUUAAAGGCAGAAUUUUGCAACAUGGCAUAAUGCACUAACUGCAUGCAGUUUAACUCUUAUUAUGUUGUCAAUAAUGGAUAAAAUUAAAUUAACGCAUUGCCUAUUGCUGACAAUGUUAGUCUCUUUCCUUUUCCAGGAAGCCUAAUGUAUGUCAUAAAUGGCCAGGGAGGCAUGACUUAGCUUAAACAUAGAAAUGAUAGUGCAAUUAAAAUGCAUCUUAGGAACAGAAUAAGAACCCUGUACAAAUGUGCAUAGAAAUUAUGCUGAUGCUGUGUUUCCUUGCUUGUCUGUGGGUGCUGAUAAAUUCACCAAUACCAGGCUUAAUUUACCAUUGCAGUCUUCAUCAGUUUUUAUGUAGUAGUUCUGCCUGUUUCCCCCCCCCCCAAUGCUAUUAGGUUUUUAACAAAUAGUUAUAAACUCUUUUAGUGACAUUAUUUUCUCUUAAAGUGAUGCUCUUAUAUUAAGUUCAUCUUAUGCACUUAUGUUUAUGUAUAGCCCAUAUUGACUGGAAAUUCCAGAGUAAUGCUUCAUUUCAUCUACUGUGACAAAAUGUGCAUUUAGAUCAUCUCCAUUUACUUGUGAAAGGAAGGGCAAGAUUCUCAACCAGGAUUUUUAAAAAAUAUGUAAUUCUUACUACAAGCCUGUGAGGUAGGUUAAGCAGGGAGAUAUGCAUUGGGUUAAGCUUUAGACUCUGUGAGGUUUAAGAAAGCCUGCUAUUGGAUAUAUUCAAGAUUAAAUAUAUCCAGAAUUGGCCUCUACAGUCACUUACAGACUCACUGUUAAGACCAUGUUCAUGGAAGACUAUCUUACUGGGCUAUGAGUGAUCGCAGAAGAAGAAGAGGAGGAGGAGGAAGGGAGGGAGGGAGGAAGGAAGGAAGGAAGGAAGGAAGGAAGGAAGGAAGAAGCCUAAGUGAGAGCUGGCUUGAGCGCAUCCUGCAUUGGAAGCCGUGUGCUGACAGUUUCCACCCCACCUGACCAUACCUGAGGAGCCCCAACCAGCUCACAACUUUGUGAGUCCCAAACCCUGGCUGUGUUAUGCAGGAAAAGCCCCAGUGGGGGUUCCUUUUCCCACCCCAGAUCACAAUGCCCUGAGUGGAAGUUGUAGGGAGUCCCUUGGUGUUUUGGGACAAAUACGUAUGGAUGACUGAAACUUAUUUUCCUGCGCAGCUCUGCUGUUUUGACCAGGCUUUCUAUCCUGUUCAUGAGCCAGAGGGGAGUCCCGACUGAUGGGUCCAGUUGCAAAGCAUCAACAUAGCAAGUGAGUAUGGGAGUGUGCAAAAAGAGGGUAACUAGCAUCCAUUAUACAGUGAACAGUACAGAAAGAGAACAUGUUAAAGAAAACACAGCCAUAUACUCAUGAACCUGAAUGCUGUGUUAGCUGUUACAUUUCCCCCCUCUUUUCCUGUUGCACCAAACACUGAGGUUUUCAAGAGUGUCCUAUUCAAAAUGAAAAUAAUCUAGCACAAAUGUGCAAAUCCCUGUUUAGUUUUAUGAGAGUACAUUGUGGCUCUCUGAUAAGCACUUGUUCUGCACCCCCCAGUAAACACUGGGUGUUCUCAUCUUUAUCAAAGGAUGUGGACUUACCACAACACUGGCUAAUGAAAAAGCUGCUGAUACCAGAAACAUCUGACAGAACCAGCCCAUGUUUGCUUCACAUCUCAUUCUCUGCAAGAUCCAGAUAGGAAGCCUGAUUAUCUGAUAUGGCAGGAUUGCUUUCAGCAUGCAGCUGUGUGGCUGGAAAAUUGCUUUCUUCUAACAAAAGAUAUUCUCAGUGAAGGCUGACAGCUCUGUCCUGUUAUUAAUAACCAGCUACAUUAACAGGCCACAAAUAUGUGAGUUAUUUAGGAAUGGUAGGAUCCCACUCAUCCCCACAUUUACGGUAUUUCACUUCUUCUAUCAAGGGUUGCCCUACUUCUCUUGCAUUUCCAAACCAAAUUGAGAAAAAGAACAGCCUAGAUGCAUUUUAAGCCAGUAAUGUUCUGUGGUGAUGUGUUGGCUGUGGGUUUGUUUGUUUGCCAUGUUCUGCCAUUCUUGCCUCUCAUGAUGUCAGCAUCAGAAAUAUUUUGUGGAGAUGUUGAGGUUGAUGCUUUUGGUCCCUUGCCCCUUCCACCACGGAUAUGGGAUGUUUCCUCUUCCCUAUGUCACUUAAACUACUGACACUCUUUCAACUAUUUUUUGCCAUUUUCUCUUCAUCUGAGCAAGAUUAGCUUCCCCCAAAAGAUGAUCUUUUAUUUCAGACCAACUUCACUUGUUUGGAACAAAAUCUCCAACUUCAUGAGAGUUGUCAUCAUCUCUACAUGUGCCACUGUCAUCUUUUAUUAGUACUGCUAGAAUGAUUUCGGCAGAAAAUGUGUGUCUUUUUGCCACUCUGGAUUGUGGAACAAAGGAUGCAGCCUUGAUCGCUGCUGGAAACAUACAAGCCUCUCCACCUCUGUUUGUACUGAAGCUUAGGUAGAUGGGAGUCAGCAUUGUGACCCCGUCACCCUUGACCCUGAAACUGGCCUUCCCCCUUAGCAUAAGGUUACCAGACAUCCCCAUUUCCCAGGGACAGUCCCCGGAUUUACAAAUCAGUCCCCAUACAAAAUCCAUUGAAAUUGAAAAGUGUCCCCGAAUUCAUUGAAAAAAAUCUGGUAUCCUUACCUUAGCAAGGAAACCUACUCAGCUUGAAACCCACAGGCGCAGGGGCUUCUUGAGAGAGGGAAUGGAUGGAAGACUGGAGUAGUUUUCUGCUCUGUUGUAACUUGCUCCUUUGUUGUUGCUGCUGCUGCUGUUUUGCAGACUUUGCUCUUCUAUGAAGGGGAGGGGGCGGGAUAAGGGGGAAGUGAGAGAUGUGAUUUCUUUCAAAUGUGAUAAGGGUGUGAUUUUCAUUGCAAACGUAAAGAUAAUGCAGGGGUGAAAAGUGAUGCAGAGAUUACCUGAACUUGAAUCCUGGGGAAAGAGUUAUCAAAGGUUACUUUGCUUUCUUUUUCUUUUUGCAAUUUGCAAUGUAUUACUAUAAAUAGCUGAACCGGUCUGAAUGAAUUUUAAAUGAACCCUGACCCUAAAUUGGCAUCAACCUAAACUUGAAUAAGUAAGUUUGGGCAAGUCCUUUAAACAGAAAUUGUACUGGGAUAACUGUUUACUCAAGCUAUUGAUAUGGGCUUGUGGUAAGUUGUUACCCCAUAUGGAAAGACGAUUCAUGCAUGAAACUGUGUGCAGUUUUUCAUCUGCAGAGAACAAACGGAUUGUGCUUACUGUUCUGUAUCUGGGCAGUAUUGUGUGCUGGCUUCUCAUGGGCAAUGGCCUACAAGGAUAAAGUUUAAAGCAAAAACGAGGCUCUGAACUAUUGUACAAAGUGCAUCUGGGUUGGAAGCUAUCUCAUAGCACAUGUGAAAGAUUAUUUAUUUUACAUAUUAAAAAUCUGCAGUCUUUAUUGCAUUUGUAAGGUAUGCUAAAAUAUUAUGUGGGUUGCUGGAUAUUUUUUUAGUACUGGUCUUUGCAGGUUCACGUCUCUCCUUAUAAUAUACAUGACCUCACAUUUUGCUUCUACAUUUUACUUUAGGUCCAUUAUGAAAAUAUUGAAAUAUACAGAACUAGAAAUUCAAUAUAGUGGGUGAAAAAUGUUCCCUUCUCAUGUGCUCCUAUGACACCACUUCAUAUUUGUGUCUCUUGUCCUCUGACAUCCUCCAUUCUUUUGUGAUGUUCAUGGUCUUGAUUUCUUAGACGCUGUGACAAUAUUGCCAUUAGUCAUAUGCAACCUGUAUAGGAACUGUGAAUGGACCCUAUAAUGAAUUUAUUACCUCAGAUGGGCUACAGGGAGAACUAUGAAUGAUGUAUAUGGCCACUUGGAAGCCGAAGCAAUCAAUCAAGUAGUUUAACCUUUCCCCCCUCUUUUAAUAGAAAUUGUCCAUUAAUCUUUGUGUGUGGAACAUGGCACCUCCAAUUAGUUACCAUCAGGUCCCUUUCUGCCAUUGCACAGUUCCGUAUGAGACAAAUGGACACUAAUUUCUGUCACAUUACUGGAAGAACUACGACCACAGCAACAGUGAAAAUGGAGCAGGAAAAUUUAUUGACAGAAUGUGUAACUAUUAAAAUAAACGUGCCUCAUGGUAUUAAUUACCAAAGAUUGGAAUUUAAGUGUCAAGAUUGUGUCUAAGUGACUAGAUCACACUGUAAGUAUGAUUAUUAACAAUGUUAGAACAAGGGUCAACACAUCCUUAGCCUAACACAUGUUAAGGAUGUUCUUUUACUCUCAGCAACAUAAGUAGUGCUUUGCUUCAGUGUGUUAAGAGUGAACUUGCAACAAAGUUCACAUAUCUAUAAUAGAAACAAUACACCAAUGAAGAUGAAAAACUAAAACAUCAGAAAUAUAAAAAUAUGUAAACCAUAAUCUUGAUCUGAAAAACAAAGGACAUGGAGAUUCAUCUUCAGAAAGAUAACUAAGAGUCCUAGCUGAUUUAAACAAAGAUUUCAACUAAAUGCUGAGGGGGAGGGAGACAAUAUUACAGAUGACAGGGUAACAUCUGAUAAUAGCUUCAUUGAUGCACAGGAAACUGGCAUAGUGCUACAGAAACCCACUAAAGGGCAGGAACUACAGGAAGGAAGCAUCUGGAAGGAAUUACUCGUGGUUUCAGUUAUCUUUAAGCUAAUGCACAGAGUAUGGGAAACAAGCAAGGUGAAUUGGAGCUUUUAAUACAGGAUGGCAAAUAUGAUGUAAUAGGCAUUAUUGAAAGCUGGUGGGAUAAGACAUGACUAGAAUGCAGAAAUUGAGUGGUGUAACCUACUCAAAAGAUGUAGACCUAACAAGAAGGCAAGAGGAGGAGCAUUUUUUGCGAUAAAAAUGAAUGUGCUGCCGAGGAUGUUGUUUUUGUUUCAAACGUUGCAGAUUUUGGACAAGAUGGAUUGUUUCAAGAAGUGGCAGAGAGAUAUUUCUAGAUUUGUCUGGCAGGGCAAGAAGCCUCGAAUAAAAUUUAAGAUAUUAACUGAUGCUAAAGAAAGAGGUGGAUUUGCCCUGCCAGACCUUAAACUUACUGUGAAUUAGCUGCUUUUUGCUGGCUGAGAGAAUGGCUACUUCUUGAAAACACUGAUGUGCUGGAUUUAAAAGGUUUCAACAAUGUAUUUGGCUGGCAUGCAUAUUUGUGGUAUGAUAAGGUAAAAGCACAUAAAGCGUUUAAAAACCAUAUUGUUAGAAAAGCACUGUUUAAUGUUUGGGUAAGAUAUAAGGACAUGCUAGAAAACAAAACCCCAAGAUGGUUGUCACCAAUGGAAGCGAAGGCUCAGAAAAAACUCAAUAUGGAGGCCAAAUGGCCGAAAUAUUGGGAAAUUUUAGAACAAGAUCAGCAAUUCCUUUCCAUCCUCCUCUGUUUUCUAUCCUAUAAUUAUCUUAACUCAUUCUAACCUUAUUUUUUUCCUUUAAUAUUCUAUUAACCUAUCUGUACUUUAAUUCCUUAUAAUAUUUCUACUAAAGCCAUAUAAAUUCAUUUCAACAUUUUUCUAACAUUCAUUAAUUUUACAAUAUUUCUGUAAAUAAUCUUUAAACUUUUCCAGUCUUCUUCCACCAACUCCUCUCCUGGUCUCGGAUUCUGCCAGUCAUUUCCGCCAGUUCCAUGUAGUCCAUCAACUUCAUCUGCCAUUCUUCCCAGGUGGGCAAAUCUUGUGUCUUCCAAUACUUCGCGAUGAGUAUUCUUGCUGCUGUUGUUGCGUACAUAAAAAAGGUUCUAUCCUUCUUUGGCACCAUUUGGCCGACCAUGCCCAGGAGAAAGGCCUCUGGUUUCUUCAGGAAGGUAUAUUUAAAUACCUUUUUCAUUUCAUUAUAAAUCAUCUCCCAGAAUGUCUUAAUCCUUGGGCACGUCCACCAAAGGUGAAAGAAUGUGCCUUCAGUCUCAUUACAUUUCCAACAUUUAUUGUCAGGCAUAUGAUAAAUUUUUGCAAGCUUGACUGGUGUCAUGUACCACCUAUAAAUCAUUUUCAUUAAGUUUUCUCUUAAGGCAUUACAUGCCGUAAAUUU